This is a non-coding RNA of Callithrix jacchus (white-tufted-ear marmoset), 61015 nucleotides long. Lineage: Eukaryota; Metazoa; Chordata; Mammalia; Primates; Cebidae. The record is from RefSeq and is a predicted model, not a curated record.
UGUGGUGCUGAGAAGAAUGUGUAUUCUGUGGAUUUGGGGUGGAGAGCUCUGUAAAUGUCUAUCAGGUUUGCUUGCUCCAGGUCUGAGUUCAAGCCCUGGAUAUCCUUGUUGAUUUUCUGUUUGGUUGAUCUGUCUAGUAUUGACAGUGGAGUGUUAAAGUCUCCCACCAUUAUUGUGUGGGAGUCUAAGUCCUUUUGUAAGUCAUUAAGAAAUUGCCUUAUGUAUCUGGGUGCUCCUGCAUUGUGUCCAUAUAUGUUUAGGAUCGUUAGCUCUUCUUGUUUUAUUGAUCCUUUUACCAUUAUGUAAUGGCCUUCUUUGUCUCUUUUGAUCUUUGUUGCUUUAAAGUCUAUUUUAUCAGAGAUGAGAAUUGCAACUCCUGCUUUUUUUUGCUUUCCAUUAGCUUGGUAAAUCUUCCACCAUCCCUUUAUUUUGAGCCUUUGUGUAUCCUUGCAUGUGAGAUGGGUUUCCUGGAUACAGCACACUGAUGGGUUUUGGAUUUUUAUCCAAUUUGCCAGUCUGUGUCUUUUGAUUGGUGCAUUUAGUCAAUUUACAUUUAGGGUUAAUAUUGUUAUGUGUGAAUUUGAUACUGCCAUUUUGAUGCUAAGUGGCUGUUUUGCCUGUUAGUUGUUGUAGAUUCUUCAUUAUGUUGAUGCUCUUUAGCAAUCAGUGUGAUUUUGGAAUGGCUGGUACUGGUUGAUCCUUUCUAUGUGUAGUGCCUCUUUUAGGAGCUCUUGUAAAGCAGGCCUGGUGGUGACAAAAUGUCUGAGUACUUGCUUGUUCGCAAAGGAUUUUAUUUUUCCUUCACUUCUGAAGCUCAGUUUGGCUGGAUAUGAAAUUCUGGGUUGAAAGUUCUUUUCUUUAAGAACGUUGAAUAUUGGCCCCCACUCUCUUCUGGCUUGUAGUGUUUCUGCCGAGAGAUCUGCUGUUAGUCUGAUGGGCUUCCCUUUGUGGGUGACCCGACCUUUCUCUCUGGCUGCCCUUAGUAUUCUCUCCUUUAUUUCAACCCUGGUAAAUCUGACGAUUAUGUGCCUUGGGGUUGCUCUUCUUGCGGAAUAUCUUUGUGAUGUUCUCUGUAUUUCCUGCAUUUGAGUGUUGGCCUGUCUUGCUAGGUGGGGGAAAUUUUCCUGGAUGAUGUCCUGAAGAGUAUUUUCCAGCUUGGAUUCAUUCUCUUCGUCCCCUUCUGGUACACCUAUCAAACGUAGGUUAGGUCUUUUCACAUAGUCCCACAUUUCUUGGAGACUUUGUUCAUUCCUUUUUGCUCUUUUUUCUCUAAUCUUGGUUUCUCGUUUCAUUUCAUUGAGUUGGUCUUCGACUUCAGAUAUUCUUUCUUCUGCUUGGUCAAUUCGGCUAUUGAAACUUGCGUUUGCUUCGCGAAGUUCUCGUAUUGUGUUUUUCAGCUCCUUUAAUUCAUUCAUAUUCCUCUCUAAGGUAUCCAUUCUUGUUAUCAUUUCCUCGAAUCUUUUUUCAAAUCUUUUUUCAAGGUUCUUAGUUUCUUUGCAUUGAUUUAAUACAUGAUCUUUUAGCUCACAAAAGUUUCUCAUUAUCCAUCUUCUGAAGUCUAAUUCCGUCAUUUCGUCCCAGUCAUUCUCCGUCCAGCUUUGUUCCCUUGCUGGUGAGGAGUUUUGGUCCUUUCUAGGAGGCGAGGUGUUCUGGUUUCAGGUGUUUUUCUUUUUUUUGCGCUGGUUUCUUCCCAUCUUUGUGGAUUUGUCCGCUGGUCGUCUGCGUAGUUGCUGACUUUUCGAUUGUGUCUCUGAGUGGACACCCAGAAUGUUGAUGAUGAAGUAUGUCUGUUACUUGGUUUUCCUUCUACCAGUCUAGCCCCUUCGCUGUACGACUGCUGAGGUCCGCUCCAGACCCUGCUUGUCUGGGGUGCACCUCUAGCAGCUGUGGCACAGCGAGGGAUGCUACCAGUUUCUUUUUCUGCUGUCUUUGUCCCAGGAUGAUGCCUUCCUAAUGUCAGUCUUUUGGAUAUAGAGGGGUCAGGUAGCUGCUUGAGGAGACAGUUUGUACUUUAUAUGGGCUUAAUUGCUGAGCUGUGAGCUCUGUUGUUCAUUCAGGGCUGUUAGGCUGCUAUGUUUGAUUCUGCUGCAACAGAGCUCAUUAAAAAACCCUUUUUUUUUCCUCAAAUGCUCUGUGUUGAGGGGUUUGGGCUUUAUUUUUGGAUGUUUGGUGAGGUGUCCUGCCCAGCUAGAAGGCAGACUAGCCACUGUUUGGCUGCCGAGGCUCUGCCCUGCUGUUGUGUGAUUCGCCCUGUUCCUGCAGGCUCUGCUGUGCUCUCCGCCACGCCCUGCGGCGGAGUCUUUUCGUUGUAGCGUGUUGCCUCGGCAACGGCUGGCUGCGUCAGCAGUGGGCGUGUAUCUUAGUUGGGGCGGGUUGCCUCCGUAGUGGUGGACGCCCCUCCCCCACAGAGCGUCUUGGACCGUCUGCUCGGGAUAGUUUGAAAUCGCGGUUUUGUUCGUCCCACUGGGUAUCCCAAACGAUCUGAUCCUGCAAUCCCCUGGGCUGGCCUACUGUCCAAGUCUCGUUCAGUCUCAAGUCCAGCCCUCUCAAGUCUCAGGUUGCCGGUUCAACAGGGCACCCGGACAAGCGCGCCCUGUGGGGAUUGCUGGGUAGGGCCGGCCACCGCCGCCCCGGCUGCCGGCUUCGCCAGGCAGAUGUACUGCCUGGUGUCCCGUGUCUUUUUUAUACUUGGGAGUUUCCCCGUUCUGUGGGCAACAACGAUCAGUCUGGAAAUGCAGCUCGGACUCACCGUUUGCGGAUUCAACACGAGCUCCAAUCCUGGGUUGUUCUCACAGCGCCAUCUUGAGUCCUCCCCCCAAUAGCAGUUUCUUAAUAAACAAUUCCAGUUAACCAAGGGAACUCUAUUUAGUAGGAUUUUAGGUUAUUAAGAUUUUAUUAUAAGAUCGUUUAACCAUUAACCUGUUGAAGGACUUCUGGACUGUUUAUAGUUUUUUAGUAUUAAAAAUAAAGCUGCUGUUAAAAUUUUUGUAUAGAUUUUUUGUGUGGAUGUUAUUUUUCAUUUCUCUGAUAAGUGUCCAAUAGUGCAGUUUCCUGGGUUGUAUGGCAGUUACAUGCUAGAUCCAUAAAGAAAUGUGCCGGACUUUUCCAAAGUUGUUGUACCAUUUUACAUAUCUACUAAUGAAGUGUGAGCAAUUUAGUUUCUCUAUAUCUUUGCUAGCAUUUGGUGUUGUGACUGUUUUUUAUUUUAGUCAUUCUGUUAGAUGUGUUGUAAUAGUGAUAUUGGUUUUGAUUUGCACUUGCCUAGGGGUUUAUGGUGUUGAACAUCUUUUCAUGUGCCAGUUUUCCAUCUGGGUAUCCUCUUCAGUGAAAUGUCUGUUCAUGUCUCAUUUUCAAAAUAGAUUUUUUUUACUGUUGAGUUUUGAAAGUGCUUUAUAUAUUCUAGCUACUAGUCCUUUGUCAGUAUCUAGAAUAAGCUACUUUGUAGCUUGUCUUUAUAUCCUCUUCUCAUUGUCUUUCACAGAAGAAAAGUUAAUUUUGAAGAGGUUCAAUUUAUUAAUUUUUUUAUGGACUGUGUUUUUAGAAAGUCUGAGUACAAUUCACCUAACCCUAUAUCCUGAAGAUUUUCUCCUGUGCUGUUUCCUAAAAGUUUUACAGUGUUAAUGUUUUAUGUUGAAGUCCGUGAUCCAUUUUGAGUUAUAUUUUUUGUGUGAUACAAGGUAUGGAUCAAAGUUAAUAUUUUUACAUAUGGGUAUUUGAUCCUUUGAGAAUCUUUUCUUUUUUUUUUUUAAAGACAGUCUUGUUCUAUCACCCAGGCUGGUGUGCAGUGAUGUGAUCUUGGCUCACUGCAAACUCCACCUCCCUAGUUCAAGUGAUUCUUAUGUCUCAGUCUCCUAAGUAGAUGGGAUUUCAGGCAUGCCACUGUGCCUGGCUAAUUUUUGUAUUUUUAGUAGAGAUGGGUUUUUACCAUGUUGGCUAGGCAAGUCUUGAACUCCCAUCCUCAGGUGAUCUGCCCGCCUUGGCAGAUAGCUUUAGUAAAGCUAGGAUUACAGGUGUGAGCCACUGUGCCCAGUCUGAGAACCAUUUCUUGAAAAGAUUAGUUGUUCUUCUUUGCACCUUUGUAAAACAAUUAAUUUACCAUAUAUGUCCAGGAGGGAGCACUUCUGGAAUUUAUUAUGUUCAAUUUAGGUGUUUGUCUGCCUUUGUGCCAAUUUAGUACAGUCUUUAUUACUGUUGCUUCUUAGUAAGUCUGGAAGCAAUCAUUGUAAGCCUUCCAGCUUUCCUUAUUUUUUUUUCAAAGUUGUUAUGGCUAUUCUAGGUCUCCUGAAUUUUCAUACGAAUUUUCGAAUCAGUCUGUCAGUUUCUACAAAUAAUCUUCUCAGAUUUUAGUGGGGAAUACUUUGAGUCUGUAGAUUCAUUUGAGAGAGAAUCGACAUCUUUAUUAAUAUAGAGUCUUAAAAUCUGCAUAAAAUAUUCCUCUCCCAAUUAUUUAGAUCUUACUUAAUUUUGCUUGGCAGUGUUUUAUAGUUUUCAGUGUAUGGGCCUUACUUACUUUUUGUUAGAUUUUUCCACUACGUUUUAUUUUUUAUUGCUAUUGUAAAAGGUAUUUUUAAAAUUUUAAUUUCUGAUUAUUUCUGCUACAUAGAAAUACUGUAGGUUUCUGCAUAUUUAUAUCUUGCAACCUAACCUCACUUACUUGUUUUCAUAGCUUUUUAUUUGUGGAUUCUAUUAGAUCUCCUACCUAGACAAUUAUUAUCCUUGAAUAAAGGCAAUUUUUACUUUUUUUCCAACUUGAAUACCAUUUAUUUCCUUUUCUUAUUUUAUUGCACUGCCUAGAAUCUUUAGUAAAAUAGAAGUGGUGAAAGUGGACUUUCUUGUUUUGUUCCUGAUGCUAAGGGCAAAAAAGUUCAGGUUUCAUCUUUAUAUAAAAGUAUUAUAGAUACCUUUUAUCAAGUUGAGGAAAUUUCCUUUGUGGCUAGUUUCCUGAAAAUAUUCAUCAGAAAUGGAUGUUGAAGUUUAUCAAAUGCUUUCUGCAUCCUUUGAGAUGAUCAUAUAGUUUUAAAAUUAUUUAACAUAUUGAACUACAUUGAUUUUCACAUAUUAAACUUUGCAUUCCUGGGAGAAACUACACUUGGUUGUGAUAUAUUUUUUUUUCUAUAUUUUUUCUAUUUGAUUUGCUAUAAUUUUACAUGUUUUUGUGAAGGUUGUUGAACUAUAGGUUUCAUUUUUUGUGAUAUUUUUGUCUGGUUUGAUAUUAGAAUAAUUUUAGGCUUAUAAAUUAAAUAGUAUUCUCCUCCUCUCUCUUUUCCCCACUGUCCCCCCCUCCCUCUUUAGCUUCCUGAGGAGUUUGUAUAGAACUAACACUAUUCCUUAAUCGUUUGGUAGAUUUCCUCAGUAAAGCUGUAUGGGCCUUGAGUCUUUUUUUUUUUUUUCUUUCUGACAGAUUAUUUAUUUAAUAGAUAUUAGGCUAUCUAGAUUAUCUUUUCCUUCUGGAGAAAGCUCAUUUGUAUCUUUCAAGAAGUUGGUGCACUUAUUGCAUAAAGUCAUAUAUGAUAUUCCCAUGUUAUGAUAUCUGUAGAAUCUGUAGUGGUGUUACUUGUCUCAUUCCUGAUAUUGGUAGUUUUUCUCUUUUUCUUAAUUAGCCUGGCUAGAGGGUUAUUGAAUUUAAUCAUGUUUUUCAAAUAAUCAGUUUUUAUUUUCAUUGACUUUUUUGUUGUCUUUUGGUUUUUUACCUCACUGAAUUUAAAAAAAUUUCUGUGGGUAUAUAUUAAUAGUAGGUGGAUAUAUUUAUGGGGUACAUGAGAUAUUGUGAUAUGGGCAUACAAUGUGUAAUAAUCACAUCAGGGUAAAUGAGGUUUCCAUCACCUCAAGCAUUUGUCAUUUCUUUAUGUUACAAAUAUUCCAAUUAUACUCUUAGUUAUUUUAAAAUGUGCAAUAAAUUAUAAAUUAUUGUUGACUGUAAUCAUCCUGUUGUAUUAUCAAAUACUAGAUCUUAUUCAUUCUGUCUAACUAUAUAUUUGUACCCAUUAACCGUCCCAAUUUCGUGGCCCUCCCCCCCAACACACUACUCUUCCCAGUUUCUGGUAAUCAUCAUUCUACUCUCUAUCUCCAUGAGUUAAAUUGUUUUAAUUUUUAGCUCCCACAAAUGAGUCAGAAUGUGAGAAGUUUGUCUUUCUGUGUCUGGCUUAUUUCACCUAACAUCCUCCAGUUCCAUCCAUGUUGUUGCAGAUGACAGGACCUCAUUCAUUUUUAUUGCUGAAUAGUACUCCAUUGUGUAUUUGUACCACGUUGUCUUUAUCCAUUCCCCUGUUGAUGGACACUUAGGUGACUUCCAAAUGUUGGCUAUUGUGAAUAGUGCUGCAGUAAACAUAGCCUUGCAGGUAUCUCUUGAGUAUAAUUAUUUCCUUUCUUUUGGGUAUUUAUCUAGCAGGGGAUUGCUGGAUCAUAUGGUAGUUCUAUUUGUAGGUUUUUUGAAGAACCUCCGUACUGUUCUUCAUGGUGGCUACACUAAUUCGCAUUCCCACCAAUAGAGUCCAAGGGUUCCCUUUUCUCCACAUCCAUCCAGCAUUUAUUAUCGUCUGUCUUUUGCUUCAAAGCCAUUUUAACUGGAGUGAGAUGAUAUCUCGUUGUAGUUUUAAUUUGCAUUUCUCUGAAAAUUAGGGAUGCUGAGAGCUUUUUCAUAUACCUGUUUGCCAUCCGUAUGUCUUUUUUGGAGAAAUGUCUAAUUAGAUCUUUUGUCCAUUUUAAAAUCAAAUUAUUAUAUUUUUUCCUAUAUAAUAGUUUGAGCUUAUUAUAUAUUCUGGUUAUUAAUCCCUUGUCAGAUGGAUAGUUUGUAAAUAUCUUAUCUCAUUCUAUGGGUUGCCUCUUCAUUUGUUGGUUGCUUCCUUUGCUGUGCCAAAGGUUUAUAACUUGAUGUGAUCCCAUUUGUUCAUUUUUGCUUUGGUUGCCUGUGUUUGUGGGGUACUACUUAAGAAAUUUUUGCCUGGACUAACUCUGAAGUUUUCCCAGUGUUUUCUUUUAGUAGAUUCAUAAUUUGAGGUUCUAUAUUUAAGCCUUUAUUUUGACUUGAAUUUUGUAUAUGGUGAGAGAUAGGGGUCUAGUUUCAUUCUUCUGCAUAUGCACGUCCAGUUUUCCCAGUACCAUUUAUUGGACAUACUGUUCUUUACCCAAUGUAUGCUUUUCACCUUUGUCAAAAAUGACUUCACUGUAGAUGGAUGGAUUUAUUUCUGAGUUUUCUAUUCUAUUUGUCUAUGUGUCUAUUUUUAUGACAGUACCCUGUUGUUUUGGUUAUUAUAGCUCUGUAUUAUAAUUUGUUUUUGUUUUGGUAAGGUGUUUUAGAAGAUCUGUAGUAUAAGUUAAAGUCAGGUUUUGUUCUUUUUGCUUAGGGUUGCCUGAGCUAUUCUGGGUCUCUUGUGGUUUCAUGUAAAUUUUCACAUUGUCUAUGUGUGUAUUUUUAUACUGGUACCCUACUUUUUUGUUUACUAUAGCUCUGUACUAUAAUUUGUUUUUGUUUUGGUAGGCUGUUUUAGAAGGUCUGUAGUAUAAUUUGAAGUCAGAUUUUUUUCUUUUUGCUUAGGGUUGCCUGAGCUAUUCUGGGUCUCUUGUGGUUUCAUGUACAUUUCAGGAUUUCUGUGAAGAAUGUCAUCAGUUUUUUUUUUUUUUUUUUAGAUGGAGUCUUGCUUUGUUGCCAGGUAGGAGUGCAGUGACACAAUCUUGACUCACUACAACCUCCGCCUCCCAGGUUUAAGCGGUUCUUCUGCCUCAGCCUGCAGAGAAGCUGGGACUACAGGCACAUGGCACAACACCCAGCUAAUUUUUGUACUUAGUAGAGAUGGGGUUUUACCAUGUUGGCCAGGAUGGUCUCAAUCUCUGGACCUUGUGAUCUGCCUGCCUCAGCCUCCUGAAUGCUGGGAUUAUGGGCAUGAGCCACUACACCUGGCCGUCAUUGAUAUUUUAAUAGGGAUUGCAUUGAAUCUGUAGAUUGAUUUGGGUAGAAUGGACAUUUUAACAAUAUUGAUUCUGACAGGUGGAGAGGUCAGGUUGGCUAAAGCUUUGACCUCCAGCAUUGAGAAAUGGCAUUGGGGGAAGGAUGGAGGGACUGAGAAAAUGAAAAACUAACUGUGAGACCUGGAAGUUGAUUUGAGAGUCAUAUAUAUUUAAAGCAAAAUUUAUUAAAAAUUUAAGGGGUUUCUUGGAUGUCACUCAAAGUAUUGAAGAUGACUCACCUCUUGAUGCCCAGCUUCUCUCAUGUUACUCACCAAAAGCUCAUUUUAGACCCCGAUUCUAUCUUUUUUCUACAGUGAUCAUAGCAAAUCUUCUCUUGUUUAUUUAUGUUGUGUUAUUUUUGGCAUUUUUAACAGAUAUAGUUUGUUCUUACCCUAAUCUAAAUGAGGACAGGUGCCCAGGAAACUACACAAACUCUCAAAGUUCAAAUGGUCAUAAUCCUUGGGAAAGUUAUUUUUUGUUUUUUCCAUGUACAUCUUAAAUGCUACAUCCAGUAUCACCAUAGCAAAGUCAGAAACUGAGGCUAUAACUUGAUCCAUCUACUGAUGGAUAAACCAUCUCAGGUGGCAUUAAUGGUACACUUCACUGGCAACAUACUUAUUCUCUUCAUACUGUGUUGCAGCAUUUCUUCCUGCGGCCCAGCAGAUUAUAUCUUUAUCUCCUUCUGGCCACCCUGGAACUGAUCUGUUCUCUGGUGUGUCUACUCAUUUACACAGUGAAAAUCUGGAAACUUAAUAAAGCUAAACCAUAUCCUGAUGUACUUGAAGGAAAAGUCUAUACUUAACCCAACAAUGUUACCUUGCAGACUGGGUUCAUAACUAUUUGAAACAUACAAGAAAUUGUUGAAAAGCAAGAAGACAUAAUAAUAUAUAUGAAGUGACACAGUUGGCUUUCACUUCCUUGGACCUAGUCUGUUAGCCAAGUAGAAUGUGAGAGGCUCAUCAUCUUGACAGCAAUUGCAGAGGAAUCCAAAGUAAUCUCACAAGCUGCCAUAGAGAAUUGCAACUUUUGCUGAAUAUUUUAUAAUUUUUGCUGGAAACCUGAAUUUGGUUCUUACCUGUGUGGCUAUGUACCAUAUAGGAUUUGGUGCUAAAGGUACUUUGUAGAAGCCUUGAUAACUUGAAGAUAAUGUCUAUUGUGUACUUUCUGAAAUUAUUUAACUACUUGGUUUAUCUUAGGAUCAAAGGUACAAUUUAAACAACAGCAACAAAAAUCCAGUAUUGAAUCUUCUAAUCCAUGAUCUGGAAUACAUGUUUGUUUUUUUGUGUGUCUUCUUCAGUUUCACUGUAGAGAUCUUUUAUUUUAUUUUAUUAUUUAUUGCAUUUUAGGUUUUGGGGUACAUGUGAAGAAUAUGCAAGAUAGUUGCAAAGGUACACAUGUGGCAGUGUGAUUUGCUGCCUUCCUCCCUUUCACCUAUAUCUGGCAUUUCUCCCCAUGCUCUCUCUCCCCAUCUCCCCACCCCCCACUGUCCCUCCCCUAUUCCCCCCGACAAACCCCAGUGUGUAGUGCUCCCCUUCCUGUGUCCAUGUGUUCUCAUUGUUCAACACCUGCCUAUAAGUGAGAACAUGCGGUAUUUCAUUUUCUGUUCUUGUGUCAGUUUGCUGAGAAGUUUAUGUAUCUCAUUGUAUUUGUAGCUGUUGUAAAUGAGAUUACUUUCUUGAUUUUUUUUUUCUCGUUUGCUCUUGACAUGUAGAAAUGCUGUUGAUUUUUGUAUAUUGAUUGUGUGUCCUACAGCCUUACUGAAUUUGUUUAUUCCUUUUGGUAGAGUCUUUAGUUUUUUCCAAACAUAAGAUCAUAUUACUUAAGACAAUGAAACUUUGAGUUUUUCCUUUCCAAGUUGGAUGUCCUUUAUUUCUCUCUCUUGUCUGAUUGCUCUAGGUAAAAAUUCUUUGACUGUUACCAUGCUGCAUAACAGUAGUGACAGUGAGCAUCCUUCCUUGUCUUCUUUCAGGUCUUCAAGGAAAGGCUUUCAGUUUUUACCCAUUCAGUAUGAUACUAGCUGAGGGUAUGUCAUACAGUGUCAUACAUGACUUUUAUUGUGUUGAGGUAUGUUCCUUCUAUACCCGGUUUCUUGGGAGUUUCUGUCAUAAAGGGAUGUUGGAUUUUAUUAGACUCUUUUUCAGUAUCAGUAGAAGUGAUUAUUUGGUUUUUGUCCUUCAUUCUGUUGACAUGAUGUAUCACAUUGAUUUGUAUAUGUUGAACCAUCAUUGCAUCCUUGGGAUGAAUCCCGCUUGUUCAUGAUGAAUGAUAUUUUUAAUGUGUUGUUUAAUUUGAUUUGCUGGUAUUUUGUUGAGGAUUUUUGCAUCAGUGUUCAUCAGGAUAUUGUCUUCCUUUUGUUUGAUGUGUCUGUCUGGUUUUGGUAUCAGGGUAAUAUUAGCUGUGUAAAAUGAGUUUGGAAGUAUUCCCUCCUCCUCUGUUUGUCAGAAUAGUUCAUGUAGGAUUGGUUAUUAGUUCUUCUUUGAAUGUUUGAUAGAGUUCAGCAGUGAAACCAUUGGGUCCUGUACUUGACUGUACUCGGAUACUUUCUAUUACAGCAUCAGUUCCAUUUCUUAUUAUUGGUCUAUUUUGGAUUUCUUUGUGGUUUAAUCUUGGUAGAUUGAAUGUGUCUAGGAAAUUAUCCAUUUCAUCUAGCUCUUCCAAUUUAUUGGCAUAUAAUUUCUCAUAGUCACCUCUAGUGAUUGUUUGAAGUUCUGCAGUUUUGGUUGUAAUGUCUCCUUUUUCAUCUCUGAUUUUAUUUAUUUGGGUCGUCUUUCUUUCUUCAUAUGGAUCUUUUUAAAAAAAAACCCAGCAUUUUGUUUUGUUGAUAUUUUGUAUUUUUUGUUUCAGUUUCAUUUAUUUCUCCUCUGAUCUUGCUUUGCUAGUUUUUAAAGCUGCAUCAUUAUGUUGUUUAUUUGAAGUUUUCUGCUUUUGUAAUAUAGGGGCUUAUUGCUAUAAACUUUCCUCUUAGUACUAAUUUUGCCUUAUCCUAUAGGUUUUGGUAUGCUCUGUUUUUAUUUUUGUUUCAAGACAUUUUAAAAUUUCCUUUUAAAUUUCUUCAUUGACCCUUUGGCUGUUCAGGAGAGAAUUUUUUUUUUUUGAGAAUCCUAAUUAGGUGUUAAGUAAUAAAGCAUCUUGACAAGUACAGAAUAGUAUUAAAAUAUUUUGUAUAAAUGCUUUUAUUUAACUUAUGAGUUGACUAACGACCUGUGGGAUAUUGGAUAAUAUAUUCUUAGAAAUACAGUGCUCUUUUUCUGGCCCUUUUCUUUUUUUUUAAUGGAUAGGAGGUUUCAGUGGGACGGGAGAAUCACAAGGAAUCAGAUGUUCAGAGGAAUGUAUUGAGUAGAGGUGAGGAACUAGGAUGUUGAAAAGUAAAAAAAGGAGAGAAGGAGAGGAAGAAAGAGGAAGAAAAAGAGGGAGAGAGAAUAGGAAUAUUGCUUCAUUCUAAAAAAUGGGUAUUAAUAAUGGCCGAUCAAUAUUUUGUGUAUUUAAAAUGGAGAACUCUAUAAAUAUUUAUUGAGUUUACUUGUUCUGGAUCUGAGUUGAAGUCCUGGAUAUCCUUGUUAAUUUUCUGUCUCGUUGAGUCUAAAUCUCGUUAUGGGUCUUAUGUAUCUGGGUAUUAAGAUCUCUUAUUGUUGCAUUGAUCCUUUUACCACUGUAUCUUUGUUGCUUUGAAAUCUAUUUUAUCAAAUGUGAGAAUUGCAACUCUGGCUUUUUGUUUAUUUAUUUAUUUUUGAUCUCCAUUUGGUUGGUAAAUUUUUUUCCAACCCUUUGUUUUGAGUCUUUGUGUAUCUUUGGAUAUACCGUUCGGUUUUGGCUAUAUCUUUUGAUUGGGGGAUUUAGUCGAUUUAAAUUUAGGGUUACUGCCAUUUGAUGUUAACUGGCUAUUUUAUCCAUUGGUUGAUGUAAAUUCUUCUUUAUGUUGAUGCUCUUUACUUUUGGUAUAUUUUUAGAAAGGCUCAUACUGGUUGUUCCUUUCUAUGUAUAAUGCUUCUUUCAGAAGUUCUUGUAAAGCAGGCCUGGUGGUAAUAAAAUCUCUGAGUACUUGCUUGUUCAUAAAAGAUUUUAUUUUUCCUUCAAUUGUGAAGCUUAGUUUGGCAGGAUAUGAGAUUCUAGGCUGAAAGUUCUGUUCUUUAAGUAUAUUGAAUAUUGGCCCCCACUCUCUUCUGGCUUGUAGGGUUUCCGCUGAGAGAUCUGUAAGUCUAAUAGGCUUACAGGAGAGAAUAUUAUUUAAUUUCCACAUUUGUAUAGUACCCAUUGUUCUUCUUGUUAUUGAUUUCUAGUUUUAUUCCAUCGUGGCCAGAGAAGAUACUUGAUGUGAAUUCAAUUUUUUGAAUUUUUAAGAGUUGUUUUGUGAGCGAACAUAUGGUCUAUCCUUGAGAAUGAUCCAUGUGCUGAGGAGAAGAAUGUGUAUUCUGCAGCUGUUGGAUGAAAUGUUUUGCAGAUAUCUGUUAGGUUUGUUUUGGUCUAUAGUUCAGAAUAAGUCCAAUGUUUCUUUUUUACUUUUCUGUCUGGAUAAUCUUUCUAAUGCUGAAAGUGGGGUGUUGAAAUCUCCAGCUAUUAGCCUGGGUUUUAUCUUUCUCUUUAGCUCUAAUAAUAUUUGCUUUAUAUACUUAGGUGUUACAGUGUUGGGUGCAUAUGUAUUUACAAUUGUUAUAUCACCUUUCUGAGUUGACCCUUUAUCAUUAUAAAAUGACCUUGUCUUUAUAGUUUUUCUCUUGAAAUCUAUUUUGUCUCAUACGAGCUACUCCUUCUGUUUGUUGAUUUCCAUUUGCAUGCAGUAUCUUCUUUUAUCUCAUUAUUUUCAGUCGUUGUUGUAUGUCAUUAUGGUGAAGUGUUUCUUUUAGGCAAUAGAUCAUUGGGUGUUGCUUUUUUAUCCAUUUAGCUGCUCUUUGUCUUUUUGAUUGGAGAGUUUAAUUUAUUUACAUUUAGUGUUAUUAUUGAUAUGUAAAGACUUAGAACUACCAUUGUGUUAUUUGUUUUCUGGUUGUUUUAUAGUCUUCUCUUCCUUUAUUCCUUUUUUUUUUUUUUUUUUUGAGACAGAGUUUUGCACUGUGGCCUGGUCUGGAGUGCAGUGUCAUGAUCUUGGCUCACUGCAACCUCUGUGUCCUGGGUUCAAGUGAUUCUCCUGCCUCAUCCUCCCUAGUAGCUGGGAUUACAGGUACCCACCAACAUGCCCAGCUAAUUUUUUUGAAUUUUUAGUAGAGACAGAGUUUCGCCAUGUUGGCCAGGCUGGUCUCAAAUUCCUGACCUCGUAAUUCACAUGCCUCAGCCUCCCAAAGUGCUGGGAUUAAGGCGUGAGCCACCAUGCCCAGCUGCUUCUUGUCUUUUUGUGAAGGUGAAUUUCUCUGGUGGCAUAUUUUAAUUAUUUGCUUUACUUUUUGUGUAUCCUGUGUAGUUUUUUUGACUUGCUAUUACCAUGAGGCUUUUAAAUAACAUAAGCCAUUAUUUUAAACAGAUGACAACUUAAUACUAAUUGUAAAAAGAAGCAAAGAGAAAACUAAUAAAAACUCUAUACUUUAACUUCAUCCACUCCACUUUUUAAUUUUGGUUAUUUUUAUCUUGCUGCAUUGUCUAUGUCUUGAAAAGAUACAGUUAUUUUUUGAUAGGUUCAUCUCUUGGCCUUUAUACUCAAGAUAUGAGCAGUUUAUACACCACAAUUACAGUGUUACAAUAUUCUGUGUUUUUUUGUGUGCUUACUAUUACCAGUGCACUUUUUACCUUCAGAUGAUUUCUAAUUGCUCAUUAACAUCCUUUUCUUCCAGAUUGAAUAACUUCCUUCAGCAUUUUUGUAGAACAUGUCUGGUGUUGAUGAAAGCCCUUAGUUUUUGUUUGUCUGGCAAUGUCUUUAUUUCUCCUUCACAUGAAGGAUAUUUUCACUUGAUAUACUAUUCUAGGAUAAAAGUUUUUUCCUUCAGCAUCUUAAAUGUCAUGUCACUCUCUUCUGGCUUAUAAGGUUUCUACUGAGACACAUGCUGCCAGAUGUAUUAGAGCUCCUUUAUAUGUUAUUUCUUUUUUCUUGCUUCUUUUAGGAUCAUUUCUUUAUCUUUGACAUUCAGAAGUUUGGUAAUUAAAUGUCUUGAGGUAGUCUUAUUUUGGUUAAAUCUGUAAUCUCUCUGUGCUUGAAUAUUGAUGUUUUUGUCAAGGUUUGGAAAAUUCUCUCUUAUUAUCCCUUUGAAUCAACCGUCUACCCCAUCUCUCACUCUGCCUCCUUGUUAGGCCAAUGACUAUUAGAUUUGCCCUUUUAGGACUAUUUUCUAGAUUUUGCAGGCAUACUUUAUUCUUUUUUUUUUUUUUUUUUUUUUUAGACAGAGUUUUGCUCUUGUUACCCAGGCUGGAGUGCAAGGGCACGAUCUCGGCUCACUGCAACCUCUGCCUUCUGGGUCAGGCAAUUCUCCUGCCUUAGCCUCCUAAGUAGCUGGGAUUACAGGCACGUGCCACCAUGCCCAGCUAAUUUUUUGUAUUUUUAGUAGAGAUGGGGUUUCACCAUGUUGACCAGGAUGGUCUCGAUCUCUUGACCUCGUGAUCCACCCGCCUUGGCCUCCCAAAGUGCUGGGAUUACAGGUGUGAGCCACCGCGCCCGGCCCCUAUUCUUUUUUAUCCUUUUAUUCUUUCGUCUCUUCUGACUGUAUUUUGAAAUAGCCUGUCUUCAGGUUUAUGAAUCAUUUCAUCUCCUUGAUCAGUUCUGCUGUUGAGAGACUCUGAUGCAUUCUUCAGUGUGUUAUUUGAAUUUUUCAGGUUCAAUAUUUCUGCUUGAUUUUUAAGUUAUUUCAAUCUCUUGUUAAAUUUAUCUGAUAGAAUUCUGAAUUCCCUUUCAGUGUCAUCUUGAAAUUUGUUGAGAUUCUUAAAAACAGCUGUUUAGAAUUAUAUGCCUAAAAGGUCACAUAUCUCUGUCACUCUGGGAUUGAUCAUUUGUGCCUUACUUAGUUCAUUUGGAAAGGUCAUGUUUUCUUGGAUGGUCUUGAUGCUUGUGGAUGUUUGUUGAUGCCUGGGCAUUGAAGAGUUAGGUAUUUAUUAUGGUCUUUGCUGUCUAGGCUUGUUUGUCCUCAUCCUUCUUGGGAAGGCUUUCCAGGUAUUCAGAGGAAUUGAGUGUCCUGAUCUAAGUUUUUGUUCACUGUAGCUGCACUGCAUUAGGGGGCACCACGACCCAGUAACACUGACUCUUAAAGACUGGUGGAGGUACUGCUUUGGUGGUUUUGGGUGAGAUCUGAGAGAAUUCUUGGAUUACCAGGCAGAGACUCUUGUUCUCUUUCCUUACUUUCCUCCAAACCAACGGAGUCUCUCUCUCCGUGCAGAGCUGCAUGCAGCUGAGGGAGGGGUGAAAGAAGCAUGCCUGUGACCACCACCACUGGGACUGCGCUGGAUUAGACCUUAAACCAGCAUAGCGCUAAGUCUUACCCAGGACCUGUGGCGACCACUGUCUGGCUGCCACUGAUGUUCACUCAAGGCCCAAGAGCUCUUCAGUCAGCAGGUAGUGAAUCCAGCCUGGCUUGUAUCCUUCUUUCAUGACAGCAAGCUCCCCACUGCCCAAGGUGGGCCCAAGAACCAGGACCUGGAGUCAGGAAACUUAGGAAUCUACUUAAUGUUCUGUUCUGCUGUGGCUUAGCUGGCAUCCAAGCUGCAGGACAUGGUUCUUCCCAUUCUUCCCUCUCCUUUCUUCAUGACCACCACUUUCCAAGGCCUGUGGUGAGUACUGCGUCGCUACUGCUGAUGUUCACUCAAGGCCUGAGGGCUCUUCAGUGAGUUUGUAGUCAAUGUUGCCAGGCCUGGGUCUCUCCCUUCAGGGUGUUGGGCUCCUCUUUUGCCCAGAGUAGAUCCAGAAAUGCCAUCAAGGAGCCAAGACUUGGAAUCUGGGAUCCUAGGAGCCUGGUUAGUGCUCCAUCUUAUGAUGGCUUAGCUGUGGCCACCAAGCUGUGAGACAAAGUCCCCAUUAUUCUUCCCUUUCCUUUCCUCAAGCAGAAAGUGAUAUGGUUUGAAUAUUUGUCCCACCCAAAUCUCAUGUUGAGAUGUUGUAAUCACCAGUGUUGGAAGUGGGGCCUGAUGGGAGAGGUAUGUGGGUCAUGGGGGUGGAUUCCUCAUGGUUUCCUGUUGUUCUUAAGAUAGUGAGCGAGUUCUCAUGAGAUCUGAUCAUUUAAAAGUGUGUGGCACCUCCCUUUGCUCCUUGCUCCUCUCGUUAUAUGGCCUGCAAGCACCUGCUUCAUCUUCUGUCUUAAGUAGAAGCUCCUUGAGGCUUCCCCGGAAGCCAAGCACAUGCAUGUUGGUACAGCUUGCAGAACAGUGAACCAAUUAAACUUCUUUUCUUUUUUAAGACAGUCUCUCUCUGUCCUCCGGCUGGAGUGCAGUGACGUGAUCUCAGUUCACUGCCACCUCCACCUCCGAGGUUCGAGCAAGUCUUCUGCCUCAACCUUCAGAGGAGCUGUUAUUACAGGUACGUUCCAUCAUGCCUGGCUAAUUUUUGUGUUUUUAGUAGAGACGGAGUUUCACCAUGUUGGCUAGGCUUGUCUCGAACUCCUAGCCUCAAGUGAUCCACCCACCUUGGCCUCCCAAAUUGCUGGGAUUACAGGCAUGAGCCACCGCACCCAGCCUAAACUCCUUUUCUUUGUAAAUUACCCAGCCUCGGGUAUUUAUUUAUAGUAACACAAGAACGACCUAAUACAGAAGGAAUCUGUCCCCAUAGCCACCACAGCUGUGAACAUGGUGGGUCAUGCUUGAAGCCUGCAUGGCACUGGUUCUUACCCAAGGCCUGCAGCAAGUUCUGCUUGGCUACUGGAAAGUACUGGCAAGUAUUACCUGCUGAUGUUUAUUCAAGGCCCAAGGGCUCUUUAGUCAGCAGGUAAUGGAUCCUGCCAGAACUGUGUCCUUCCCUUCAAAGCAGUGGGUUCCCUUCUAGCCCAGGGUAUGUCUAGAAUUGUCAUCUGGGAGCUAGGUCCUAGAAUGGGGGCUUCAGGAUGCUGCCUGUGCUUCAUUCUCUUGUGGAAGAACUGGUAUCCCAGUUGCAAAAUGAAGUCCUCUUUACCCUUCCCUCUUCUCUCCUCAAGCAGAAGGAAGGAGUCUCUCCUAGAGCUGUGAGCUGUGCCACCUGGGAUUGGGAGAGGGGUGACACAAGCACUCCCUUUCUUUCCCAGCUGGUGUCUCAGCUCAGUGCAACCUCUGCCUCCUAGGCUAAAAGAAUUCUCCUACCUCAGCCUGCUGAGUAGCCGGGACUACAGGCACACAUCACCAUGCCUGGCUAAUUUUUUUGUAGAGACAGGUUUGCCAUAUUGCCUAGGCUGGUCUUGAACUCCUGAGUUCAAGUGAUCCACCCACCUCUGGAUCACAGGCAUGAGCCCCCAUGUCUGGCCUGGGGUCUUACUAGGUAAUGAGUACCCAAGUCCACUGGCUCCAAGGUCAGCACAGCACCAGGACUUGCCUAGGAAUUGCAGUCCUUGUGGCCAGGACUGCCUUUCAAGUUUAUUUAGGACCCCAGAGUGCUUUAGCACACACUGGUGGUACUGGCCAGAACUCAGAUUCUUACUACUGGGAUAGAUUAUUUUCCUCUGGCUAGGGCUGUUAUAAAAAUUCCUUCCUUGGGCCCCAGCUGAUUUCUGCCCUGUGUCGCUCUCCACCAUGACUGGCAGGAUUGAGUUUCAGCAUAAAGUCCUACAAUCACUGUGUUCUCCCUUCCCCAAGCAAACAGAUUCUCUCUCCAUGCCGUACAGCUGCUGCCCAGGGGAUUGAGGAGUGUAGUGUAGGCAACUCAAAACUGUCUUUCCUGCCCUCUUCAGUGCCCUUGUUCUCAAUAUAUUAAAACCAGAUAUUUUGGUUCUUAUGAAGGUGUUUUCUUGUGUAGAUAGUUGUUCGGUUUGGUGUUCCUGCAGGGAAGAUGAUUAUUGGUUCUAUUUGGUCAUCUUGCUCUGCCUCCUCCUACUUCAUUGAUUAUUUUCCUGACGUUUAUUUCACCUUUGUUUUCAAAAGAUGUUUUAGUAUGGCAGAGAGUUCUGGGUUGACAGUAUUUUACUUUCAGCACUUUUAAGAUGUUCUGCUGUUUAUGAGUUUCCAUUGAUUUUGUGAGAAAUCUGUCAUUAUAUGUUCCUUGGUCCAUAAUGCCUUUCUCCCAGCUUCUUUUAAUAUUUUUUUUGGUUUAUCCUUAGUUUUAAUGAAUUUGAUUAUGAAUUGUCUUUUGGUAGCUUUCUUUGUGUUUCUUCUUUUUGGGGGUUCCUUGAGGUUCUUAGUUCCAUGGGUUUAUAGUUUUCAGUGAAUUUGGAAAAAAUUCUGCAAUUAUUUUACUUUUUUCUGUCACCCCCUCUCUUAAUUUGGGGAUUCCAGUGAAACGUUAAUUAGGUUGCUGAAAUUGCUGCACAGCUCAGUGAUACGCUUUUUUGAGAGGUCUGUUUUCUCUUUGUUUCAUUUUAGAUAGUUGCUAUUGCUUUGUCUUCACAUUCUUUAACAGUUUUUUCUUCUUUAUUGUAUCAUCUCUUAAUUCUAUCAAAUGUGGUUCUUAUCUCAGUCAUUAUAGUUUGCAUCUUAUAGAAAUUUGACUUGGGUCUUUUGUGUCCACACACAUAUACUCCAUGCCUCUUCUUCACGUGUUCAACCUUUCUUUCUUCUUUUUUUUUGAGACAGAUUUCAGGGUCAUAGUGAUCUCAGCUCACUAUGACCUCUGCCUCCCAAGGUCAAGCCAUUCUCCCACCUCAGCUUCCUGAGUAGCCUGGACUACAGGUGUGUACCACCACACCUGGUUAAUUUUUGUAUUUGUUAUAGAGACAGGGGCCUUGUUGCUCAGGCUGGUCUUGAACUCCUGAGUACAAGCAGGUCACCUGCUUUGGCCUCCCAAAGUGCUAGGAUUAUAGGCAUGAGCCACUGUGCCUGUCCACAUAAUCUUUCUUACAGCUUCUUGAACAUAUAAAAGUUAGUGAUAAUGGAUUUUGUGCCUUGCCUGCUAAUUCAGUCAUCAUUAUAAUUUUGGGGUUUGUUUCAAUUGAUUGACUUCUCUCCUUUUUAUAGAUUAUAUUUUCCUUUUUUUCAUGACUAAUUUUUUUUUUUUUUUGAGACAGACUCGCACUCUGUCACCAGGCUGGAGUGCAGUGACAUGAUCUUGGCUCACUACAGCCUCCACCUCCUAGGAUCAAGCAAUUCUCCUGCUGCAGCCUCCUGAGUAGCUGGGAUUACAGUUGCCCACCACCACGCUCAGCUAAUUUUUGUAUUUUUAGUAGAGAUGGGGGUUUCACCAUUUUGGCUAGGCUGAUCUUAAACUCCUGACCUCAAGUGAUCCACCCACCUCGACCUCCCCAAAGUACUGGGAUUACAGGUGUGAGUCACCACGCUCGGCCAGCAUGUUUCAAUUGAAUGCUAGAUAUGGUGAAUUUUGUUUACUGGUUCCUGAUAUUUUCAUAUUUUAAUAAAUAUUUUAGACCUUUUUUCUUGGAUGCAAGUUAAGUUACUUGGAAAUAGCCUGUUUCAGAUUUUGCUUUUAACUUUGUUAGGUGAGACUAGAGGAGUUUCUAAAAUUAAUUUUUUUCCCAUUAGUGAGGCAGAAAUUCUUCUGAAUACCAUAUCUGAUGAUCCAUUAAUAAUAAAGUUUUCAAGUUAGUUUCCUCUAAUUGUUUUGGGUGAAGUUUUCCCUACCUUCCAUAGUUUCCUCACACAUGUGCACCAAUCAGUACUCAACUGAAUACUCAGUGAUGAUCUUUUGCAUAUAUAAGUUUUCUCUCUGUGUAUCUCUCUCCUCUUGUGUGCUGCCUUGUGAAAUUCAGCCACGUUAGUCUUUGUGAACUCCUAGAUACAUUUCCUAGAGUUAGGGAGGCCACUGGGCUGCCCCUAGAUUUAUCUUCCCUUUGCUAUGGCCUGGACCCUUUACCUGGACAGUGAGCCGAGUUCAUUGUCGGGCUCUCACCUAGUUUGUUUUUCAUCUCAUGAUUUCUGGUUUCUUCAGCAAUGUGUUUUAUAUUUUGUUUGGGUUUAAUGUUGCUUUAGAUGAUUGGGAAAAUUUAGUAUCCUUUAUGUUCCUUUAUGUUUUGGUUAGAAAACAACUCAAUAUAGUAUUUUAGUAGAAAAAAGGCAUGAAAAGAAAACUACUUUUAAAGUUCUUGCUUCUUUUUAUUGAAACAUAUUUUUACUAGGCUCAUUGAAGGGAACAGUUAUACUUAAAUUUAUUUAUAACAUCUGUCCUUAUGUAAUUUUUAGAGCUACUAACAAAAUACUGGAGAAAAUGGCAACUAUUGAUGUUACUGGUACUCUUCUGUUCCAGUGAAAGCUUGAUACUGCUAAGUGAGUGAUACAAACAGGUUAAUCCAUUACUCCUCCUAAAUCUCUGAAGUCUGAAUCAACUGGUAGAGGAAAUCUCCUGUGAUGUGCUGUGCUCUUCAUAUAUAAAUUUGAUGUUACUUUGCUGACUGCUAAUAUUACAGAUGUUUUUCAAGUCAAAUUAAAACAUUUGAUUAUAUUCUGCAGCAAGUUAUUUAAAUUUUCUGUGUUUCAAAUAACAUCUCAUUUCAUUUCAUAGAAUGGUGAAAACAUCUGUUUACGUAAUUACAGUUUGCUGUUGUCAAACUGAUACAGAAUUUGCCUUAGUCUUUGAGUUUAUUCUUCCUGCUAAAAUGCAAACAAGGCUAAUAGAUUUCACAGUUGUAUUUGUUAAAAAUCUUGAUAUAGCAGUUUUCGUUGUUAUUGAUAUCAAAGACGUUAAGUGGGAUUAGUCAGCUAUAUCCAUUAUUUGUGAACUUGAAAGAUAAGAAAGUAGUUGGACUCUGCAGAGUAUCGUUUUAGCUAUCAGUUUCUGCUUCUCCUUUUAUCAAGACUUUAAAAAAUGCAACAGUUUUAAUAUAGAGAGACAUUGAUUAUUUAAGUUAAUUUUUCCACUUCAAACUGAAAGUUGUUAUUAAUUGAACAGGCAGGCAUCCAAAGACAAACAUCUAACUUGUUUGUUUCUGUGUUGCUCUGUUCGGAUGUGUAGUUCAUGAUGAGAGACUCUUAUCUGUUUUAUUUCCCGGAGGAUACCCAAUAUCUAGAAAGUUUUUGGCACAUAGUAAGUAUUAACCACAUUUUUGAUGACGAGUCAGUGAAUAAGUGAAUGAACAAUUAAGCUUCUGAGUCUUUUCCUGUCUUGGAAAUCUCAUCAAUCUUUCAAGGCUCAGUUCAUGAAGUGGUUUUUGAAUGAAAAUUUCUUCAACUACUUCAGUUCAUUAUAAUCUUUUUUUUUUUUUUUGAGACAGAGUCUUGCUCUGUUGCCCAUAAUGGAGUGAAGUGGUACAAUCUUGGGUCACUGCAACUUCCACCUCCUGGGUUCAAGCAAUUCUCCUGCCUCAGCCUCCCAAGUAGCUGGGAUUACUGGCACCUGACACCAUGCCUGGCUAAUCUUUUGUAUUUUUAGUAGAGACGGCAUUUCAUCAUGUUGGCCAGGCUGGUCUCGAACUCCUGAUCUCAGUAAUCCACCUGCCUCCGCCUCCCAAAGUGUUGGGAUUACAGGCAUGAGCCGCUGCACCCAGCCCAUUAUGAUCUUUUCUUUGAACUCUUGGUCUUUUCAUGUAAUUUUAAGAUAAAAUUUACCAACAAAUACAGCUGCACACAAUUGGACCAGACUGCAAGAAGGGCACAUUCUAUUACUGGAAGUGCUUAAGGAGUGGCAGGAUGGCCUUGUCAAUAAAAAGGAGGGAAGUGAGAUACAGUGUUCUUAACUUUGUGCUAGGUACUUAAUGUAUUUGACUCCCUUUAAUUUCAAAGGCCCGGACCCUACAAGGUAGAUCAACUUUACUUAUUUUUUUUUAGUGUGGAAACUGAGGUUUAGAGAGGCCUAUAAAAUUUGUCUACAGUUCCAUAGCCAUAAACAUCUCAUUGAUAAACCAAGGUUGUUUUUUGUGGGAGAGCUGUUACACUGCCUUCAGUAGGUAACUACUUCAUGAAAUCAAAGUCCAUUAUGAUUGUGUGAAGUAUGACAGUUUGGCAUUUCUACCAAGAAACGAAGGCUUGAAGUGGGCAGAAUGACAGCACUUGGUGGUUAGGAAAAGAAAGUUUUGGAUAAUGGGAUAAUUAGAAACACCAAAAGGGACAGAGAGGUACUGAACUCCAUCUUUCUGUUCAUGUUUUGGCCUCAUGGUAUGUAAGGAUUUUUGACAAUGAAGUUGGUGGAUCCUAUUUUGAUUUUUAAAAGAAACAUUUAUUGUUGGGGUUUAUUGCUCUGGUUUUUCUUUUACAUGAUACAAGUGAUAUUAUUUAAAAAUGAAAUUAAGGCUGGGCGCGGAGGCUCACGCCUGUAAUCCCAGCGCUUUGGGAGGCCAAGGUGGGUGGAUUGCGAGGUCAAGAGAUCGAGACUAUCCUGGUCAACAUGGUGAAACCCCGUCUCAACUAAAAAUACAAACAAUUAGCUGGGCAUGGUGGCACGUGCCUGUAAUCCCAGCUACUCAGGAGGCUGAGAGGCAGGAGAAUUGCCUGAACCCAGGAGGCGGAGGUCGUGGUGAGCCAAGAUCACGCCAUUGCACUCCAGCCUGGGUAACAAGAGCGAAACUCCGUCUCAAAAAAAAAAAAAAGAAAUGAAAAAAUCUUUUAAAUAUUAAGACAAUCUCCAGAGGUUGAUAGCCACGAUGAUUAAUUAGAAUCUAUUAUAAAUUAAGAAUCAUUACUUAUCAAGGGCUUACCUUGUGUCAUAUGCUGUGUUUUAUGUACAUUAUCUCAUUUAAUAUUUUCCACAACCAUUAUUGUCAAGUUUCUGUUUUCAGCACCAUUUCACAAAUAGGAAACUAAAAACUAGUAGAGUUACCAGUGGUUUGAAACUUUUUUUGUCUCUAGACACAUUGAGAAAAAAACAUUUUAUGUGAUAACUUAGUAUGUACAUACAUGCAUACAUACAUAUAAUUGAAAUGUGUUUCUUGAAUAUUUAUUUUACUAUAAUUUUGCACUGUUUUGUACUGUUAAUGUUUACCCAAGAAUAGAUAUGACAUAGGAGUCAUUAUCUGCAGUUUGAAAAACUCUGCUCUUGACAGCUAUAUUAUAUUCGCUUCCUAAUUUUGUACAGUAACAAGCCACUUUUGAUUUCCAUUCUCGUGCCUGCUUUAUUGUAAAUAUUCUGUCAAAAGAAACAAAAAAACUAAGUCUUAACAGUAAAGAUAAGUCCUUUCUCCCAACUAGAUUUUUAUCUUAAGUUAAAGCCAAUCAACUAAUUUCUUGUUUUUAGUGAUGAUUAUGUUUAUUAAUAAUGCAUUGUUUUGAAUUUGCCUUUUUUCAUGGUUUCGUGUGGAAAAGACAUACUAUAGUCAACUGGCAUAUUUUUAUCUGACUGCUCUGUGGAUGAUCUGGUAAACAAUCGGGAUCUGUUACAUAGGUUAAAGAGGUAAAGUGGGUUCGUAAUAUUUUUAUUUUUUUGGCAGAUUUUCUCUCUACUUUUCUGUACAUUUAAAAUAUUUUCAUAAUUAAAAAAUUUUAAUAAUCGCAUAUAACCAUUUGUAUUUAAUAAAUGCCUUUAAACAAAUGAAAAAAUAUAUUAAACUUUUGUUGUACCACCAGAUGGCGCCCUCUAUUAAUCCAAAUUAAGACGCCCACACCAUUUUCUGAAUUAUUUUGUGUUGCAUGUAUUGAUAGAUUUUUGGCGUGAAUGGUCAAAUAAUGGGAUCUAGAAUUCACGAGUAAAAGAGGAAAUAGAGUAAAUGAGUUGCUAAUGUACAGGCCCAGGGUAUAUGGAAUAAACCAGUGUUUAAUAUAGUUUCUGGAAUUUAAUCAUUAGUCAGAAUAAUGUUAGAGUAAAAUUUAGGAUUAGGAAUACAGCUGUUUUGCAUUUUUCCACGACUGUCUCUCUUUCCUUAUAUGGGGUUUUUCUUUGAUCUUAACAAUCGUUUUUGUUUAUCCGCCACUUUUGACAUAAAUGGUUUCUUUGGUUACAAGUUUUUAUACUGUCUAUUAGAGUAACAUUAUUCCAAUUUUGUUGUACUGGAAUUUGAAUUCAUGAGAUUUUUGUCAUAUUUUCAUCACAUAAGCAUGGAACAUAUGAGCUUGAUUUGUUUAACAAAAUGAAUAAACAUCUCUGAAUGUAUUUGGCUAUGUCCAUUCUUUCUCUUUUCAUAAAUGUGAUUUAUUAUUUCAGUAAUAAAGGAUGUUGAUCUUAAAUUGGUAAUCCUAAAUACAACUUUUAUAUUAUCCUCAUCAACUUUUCUUUUUGUUUAGCUAAAAGGAAUGAUAGGCAAAAUUGAUUGUGUUUAAAGUCAGUCCUGAAAGCUAUUGAGAGCAUGAUCUAUUAAGUAACAUAACAGUAAAGGCCUUUUACUGUUGCCUUUGUGAAAAGAAAACUAAACACUUGUUUUCAAUUUCAAGCUAUUUUGACAUUUAAAAAAGCUUUAAAAUAGGCAUCCGAAACCUAACACUGUUAACGUAACACAUUUUAAAAUUUAUUUUUAUUUAUUUUUGAGAUAUAAUCUCACUCUGUCAUGUAGGCUAGAGUGCAGUGGCGUGAUCUCGGCUCGCUGCAACCUCCGCCUCCUGGGUUUAAGUGAUUCUUCUGCCUCAGCCUUGCCAGUGGCUGGGACUAUAGGUGCGCACCACCACACUCUGCUAGCGUUCGUGUUUUUAGUAGAGACAGGGUUUUACCAUGUUGGUCAGGCUGUAAAAUUUAAUUUUAUUGGAUGUAUUUAAGCUGUACAAUAUGAUAUUUUGAUAUGCAUAUAUAGUGAAAUGAUUUCUACAGUCAAACAAAUUAAAAUAUCCAUCACUUUCCACAGUCACCUUUUUGGUUUAGCACGAUAGGAGUUCCUGAAGUCUACUUUUUCAGCAGAUUUUCAGUAUAAUACAGUGUUAGUAACUAUAGUCCUUACGCUGAACAUUACAUCUCUAGAUUUAGCCAUCCUACAUAGCUAUAAAUUUGUACCCUUUGACCUUCUUCUCCCUGUUUGCUCUCCUUUUCUGCCCCUGGUAACCAUCAUUCUACUCUGUUUUUGUUUAUUCUUUGUUUCUAUUUACUUUUCCCCCUAGAUUUCACAUAUAUGUGAGAUUGUACAAUAUUUUUCUUUGUAUAUCUGGCUUAUUUUGCUAAGCAUAAUGUCUCCCAGAUUCAUCCCUGUUGUAAGUGAUGGGUUCUCCCUUUUUCCCCCAAGGCUGAAUAUUUCAUUGUAUAUAUUGCACCAAAUUUCUUUAUUUCUUCAUCUGUUGAUGGACAAACACUUAGGUCAUUUCCAUCUUAACUAUUGUGAAAAAAUGCUGCAGUAAACAUGGAAGUACAGAUAUCUCUUAUGCAAUGCUGAUUUCAUUUCCUUUAGGGAAAUCAGGGGAAUUACUAGGUUUGUGGUAGUUUGGUUUUUAAAUUUUUGAAAAAUUUGCAUACUGUUUUCCAUAAUAACUGUACCAAUUUACAUUCCUACCAGUUGUAUACAAGGGUUUCAUUUUCUCUACACCUAACACUUGUUAUCUCUUGUCUUCUUGAUAAUAGCCUUCUUAACAGGUGUGAAAUGAUAUUACACAGUGAUUUCGAUUUGCAUUUAAUUGAUGACUAAUGAUGUUGAGUACCUUUUGGUGUAUAUGUUGGCCAUUUUUAUGCCUUCUUUGGAAAAAUGUCUAUUCAGGUCCUUUGCCCAUUUUUAAAUAAGUGGUUUUUUGGUUUUGUUUUAUGAUAGUAAGUUUAAAGAAAUUUUUAGAUGUUAACUUCUUAACAAAGACAUGGUUUCCAGAUAUUUUGUCCCAAUCUGUAGGAUGCCUUUUCAUUUUGUUGAUUGUUUCCUUUGCAUUGCAGAAGCUUUUUAGUUUGAUGUAGUCACACUUGUUUAUUUUUGCUUUUGUGGCUUGAGCUUUGCUGUGAUACCUAGAAAAUCAUUGUCAAGUCCAGUAUGAAGGAGCUUUUCCCUAUAUUUUCUUCUAAGGAGGAUUUUUUUCUUUGUGUGUGUGUGUGGUGUAAGAUAAAGGCCCAGUUUCAUUCUUUUGCGUUGGAUAUUUAGUUUUCCCAACCCCAUUUAUUGAAGAGACUGUACUCCCAUUGUGUCUUCUUGGUGGGCUUGUCAGGAAUUACUUGACCAUAUAUGCUUGGAUUUAUUUCUCUCUUUCUAUGCUAUUUUAUUAGCCUGUGUCUAUUUUUAUGCCCAUAUUAUGUCUAUGCCAUAUUGUUUUGAUUGCUAUAGCUUGAUAAUACUUUUUUGGGGCGGGGAGACAGGCUUUUGCUCUGUCACCCAUAGUGGAAUGCAUUAAUACGAUCACUGCUCAUUGUAGCCUUGUCAUUCCAGCUCUGGUGACCCUCCCACCUGAGCCUGGGACUACAGGUAUGUGCCACCAUGCCUGGCCAAUUUUUAAAUUUUUUUUGUAGAGACAGGUCUGUAUUGCCUAGGCUGGUCUCAAGCUCCUGGGCACAAGUAAUCUUCCUGCCUCAGUUUCCCAAAGUGUUGGGAUUACAGGUAUGAGCCACUGCACCCAGUGUAUAAUAUGAUUUGAAAUCAAGAAGUGUGAUGUCUCCAAUCUUAUUUUUCUUUCUUUAGAUUGUUUUGGCUACUUGGGACUUUUUGUGGUUUCAUACAAAUUUUAUAGUUUUUUUUCUAUUUCUGAGAAAAAUGUCAUUGGAAUUACAUUGAAUUUGUUUGUAUAUUUUAGAUAGCAUGGUCAUUUUAACAAAUAAUUCUUCUAAUUCAUGAACACAGGUUAUCUUUCCAUGUAUUUGUGUCUUCAAUUUUUUUUAUCAAUGUUUUAUAGUUUUCAGUAUACUGAUGUUUCAUCCCCUAGUGAAGUUUAUUCCUAACUUCAGUCAUUCAUCGCUUAACGAUGGGGAUACAUUCUGAGAAAUGUGUCAUUGGGUGAUUUCAUCAUUGUGGGAACCUCAUAGAGUCUACUUACACAAACCAGCUGUCUUCACAUCUAUACCGUUGUAGUAUAGCCUAUUGCUCCUAGGUGACAAACCUGUUCAGCAUAUUACUGUACUGAAUACUGUAGGCAGUUGUAGCACAUAGUAUUUAUAUAUCAAAACAACUAAACAUGGAAAAGGUGCAGUAAAAAUCGCUACAAGAGAUAAAAAACAGUACACAUAUAUAGGGCACUUACCAUGAAUGGAGCUUGCAAGAUUGGCACUUGCUCUGAAUAAGUAAUUGAGUGAAUGUGACGGUGUAAGACGUUACUGUAGGUUUUGUAAACACUGUAUACUUAGGCUACAAUAAAUCUAUAUUAAAAAACUUCUUGAUUAAUUUUAACUUACUGUAACUUUUUACUUAAAAACUUUAAAUUUUGUUUACACUUCUUGACUCUUUUGUAAUAACAAGAGUUAGAUACAGACACAUAUAGCUAUACAAAAAAUUUUCUAUAUAUUCUUACUAUUAGCUUUUUUCUAUUAUUAUUGCUUUUUUUACUUUUAAAACUUUUUUGUUCAAAAGUAGACACAAACACAUAUUAGCCUAGGCCUCCACAGGAUCAGGAUUCUCUUAUCCCAUGGAAGGUCUUCAAGGGCAGUAACAUACAUGGAGCUGUAAUUUCCUAUAAUAAUAAUGCCAUCUUCUGGAAUAUUUCCUGAAGGGCCCAUCUGAGGCUAUUUUACAGUUAACUUUUUUCAAUAAGUAGAAGGGCUGGGGACGGUGACUCAUACCGGUAAUCGCAGCACUUAGGGAGGCUGAGGUGGGCGGAUCAUGAGGUCGGGAGUUCAAGACCAGCCUGACCAACAUAGUGAAACCCCAUCUCUACUAAAAAUAUAAAAAUUAACCAGGCUUAGUGGCAUCUGCCUGUAAUUCCAGCUACUCAGGAGGCUGAGGCAGGAGAAUGGCUUGAACCUAGGAGGCAGAGGUUGCAGUGAGCUGAGAUCGCACCACUUCACUCCAACCUGGGCAACAGAGUGAGACUGUGUCUCCAAAAAAAAAAAAAAAAAAAAAGAGUAGAAGGAGGACAUUCUAAAAUAACAGUGAAAAGUAUAGUGUAAGUAAAUACAUAAACCAAUACCAUAGUCAUUUAUUAUCAAGCAUUAUAUACUGUACAUAGUUGUUUGUGCUGUACUUUUAUUCAAUUCACAGUGCAGUAGGUUUAUUUACACCAGCAUUACUACAGACAUUAGUAAUAUGUUGUACUACUAUGUCACAAUGAUUACGAUGUCUCUAGACAAUAGGAAUUUUUAAUUUUCAUAAUUUCAUGAACCACCAUUGUAACUGUGGUCUGUCAUUGAAUGAAAUGUCAUUGUGCAGAACUUGACUGUAUUUUAUUAUUUUUGUUGUGUUUUCUCUUUCAGAUCAAUCACUAUUAGUAUAAAUAAAUGCAGCUGAUUUUUAUAUGUUGAUGUUGUGUUCUACUACUUUAAUGAAUUCAUUUACUAGCUUUAAUUUUUUUUUUUUUGAGACAGAAUUUCACUCUUGUCACCCAGGCUGGAGUGCAAUGGUGCAAUCUUGCCUCACUGCAACCUCUGCCUCCCGGGUUCAAGUGAUUCUUCUGCCUCGGGCUCCUGAGUAGCUGGGAUUAUAGGCACCUGCCACCAUGCCUAGCUAAUUUUUGUAUUUUUAGUAGAGAUGGGGUUUCACCAUGUUGGCCAGGCUGGUCUUGAACUUCUGUUCUUGUUCUAGCUCCUUGAGUUGUAUAGUUAGGUUGUUUAUUUUGAGAUAUUUAAAUGUAGACAUUUAUCACAACAAAUCUCCUCUUAUUACUGCUUUUGCUGUAUCACAUAAGUUUUGGUUUGUUCUAGUUUUGUUUUUGUUCAUCCUGAGAUAUUUAAAAAAUUCUCUUUUGAUGUACUCUUUGGCCUAGUGGGUUGUUCAAGAAUGCAUUAUUUAUAUAGUAUUUGCACAUUUUCUCAUGUUCUUGUUGUUAUCUAGUUCAGUUCUAUUGUUGUUGGACAAGGUACUUGAUAAUAUUAUUUUGAAUGUCUUAAAUUUGUUAAGACUUGUUUUGUGACCUGAUGUGAUCUGUCCUGGAGAAUAGUCCAUAUAUACUUGAAAAGAAUGUGUAUUCUGCUGUUGAGUAGAAAGUUCUGUAUAGGCUUGUCAAGUUUAUUUGAACAGUGUUGUUCAAGCCCCCUGUUUCUUUAUUAAUUUUUUUGUCUGGGUUUCCUUUUUAUUAUUGAAAAUGGGGUACUGAAUCUCCUACUAUUGUGUUGCUAUCAGUUUCUUCUUUCAGCUCUGUCAGUAGUUGCUUUAUAUGUGCUUGAGUGCUCUGAUGUUGGGUGCAUAUUUGUUUACAAUUGUUAUUAUCUUCUUGUUGAAUUGAUCCUUUUGUCAUUGUUUAAUGAUUUUUUUUUUUUUUUGUCUCUAGAGAAAGUUUUUGACUUAUAGUGUACUUUGAUGUAAGUAUAGCCACUCUUUUAGGUACCAUUUAAAUGGACUAUUCUUUUCUGUUCCUUCACUAUGAAUCUAAAGUUAGUUUCUUGUGGACAACGUGUAGUUGGAUUUUUUUAAAAAAUUUAAAAAUUCAUUUAGCUACUCUAUCUUUUUAUUGGAAAGUUUAGUCCAUUUACAUUUAAAGUAAUUAUUGACAAGGAAAGAUUUACUGUUUUGUUAACUGUUUUCUGUUUUUUAGUUGAUUUUUUCCCUGCUUUUUCUCUCUUGUUGUCUUGUCUCAUUGCUUUUUCAUAAUGCUAUGAUUCUUUGUGUAACUUCUGUAGGGUUUUUUUUUUUUGUAGUUACCAGAAGGCUUACAUAAAAUAUCUAUUACUAUUAUUAUUUUUUAGUAGAGACAGGAUUUCAUCAUGUAGGCCAGGAUGAUCUUGAUCUCCUGACUCGUGAUUUGCCCACCUUGGCCUCCCAGAGUGCUGGGAUUACAGGCGUGAGCCUCUGUGCCCUGCCAUAAAAUAUCUUAAAAUUAUCUGUGUUAAGCUGAUAACAGCUUAACUUCUUUUCCACAUAGGAGAUCUGAUUUUUACCUUUCUUACCCUCAAAUUUUAUGUUAUUGAUUUCACAAUUUAGAUGUAUGUGUAUUCUGUAUUUAUUAGAUAAUUUAGAGUUGUUUUUAGUACUUUUGUCUUUUAGGUUUUAUACUAGAAUUAUAAUUAACUUCACACCACUGUUAUAGUAAUAAAAUAUUCUCUCUUUUUUUUUGCCUGUAUAUUUAACUUUGCCAACAAGUUUUAUAUAUUUUUUUGGUAUAAAAUACCAAAAACAUACAUGUUGUUGUUUAGCAUCUUUUCAUUUCCACUUGAAGAAAUACCUUUAGCAUGCUUGCAGGGCAGGUAUAGCGGUGAGAAAGUACCUUGGCUUUUAUUAGUCUGAGAGCACCUUUAUCUCCCCCUCAGCUUUAUAAGACAGGAUUGCUGGGUAUAGUAUUCUUGGCUGGCAAUUUUUUUUUUCUUUCAGCACUUUGUAUAUAUCAUUUUGCUCCCUUCAGUCUCCAAGGUAUCUGUUGAAAAAUCUAAUAAGAUAUAGAGAUUCCCCUGUACUUAGCAAGUUGCUUCUUUCUUGCUGCUUUCAAAAUCCUCUCUGUGUUGCUCAGGGUGGAGUACAGUGGUGCAAUCAUGGCUCACCAUGUAGCCUUGACCUCCCUAGUCUCAGGACUUCCUGCCUCAGCCCCCCCAGUAGCUGGGUCCACAAGCACAUGCCAGUAUGCCUGGCUAAUUUUGUAUUUUUUGUAGAGAUAGGGUUUUUCCAUGUUUCCCAGGCUAGUCUCAAACUUCUGCGCUUAAUCCACUUGUCUUGGCCUCCCAAAGUGCUGGGAUUAUGAGCAUGAGCCACCACGCCUGGCUUGUGUGGAUUUCUUUGGAUUAAUUCUAUUUGGUGUCAUUUGGGCUUCCUGAAUCUGGAUUUGUAUUUUCUUUCCCAUGCCUGGGAAGUUUUCAGCCAUUAUGUCUUUGAAUGUGUUUUUAGCCCCUUUCUCUCUCUCUCCUGCAACUCUGAUAAUGCCUAUAUUGUGAAGGCUUCAUGUAAGUCCCUUAAGUCAGCAGUCCCCAACCUUUUUGGAACCAGGGACCGGUUUUGUGGAAGACAGUUUUUCUGUGGAGUAGGGUUGCUGGGGGGAAGUAGAUGGUUUGGGGAUGAUUCAAGCGCAUUACAUUUAUUGUACACUUUAUUUCUAUUUGAUUUUACUUUUUAUUUCUUUAGGUUUUGGGGGAACAAGUGAUAUUUGAUUACAUGAGUUAGUUCUUUAGUGGUGAUUUGUAAGAUUUUGGUGUACUGUCAUCACUCAAGCAGUAUACACUAAACCCAAUGGCAGUCUUUUAUCCCUCAUCCCCUUCCCACCCUUCCCUCUCCUUAGAGUCUGUUGUAACCUUCUUAUGCCUUUGCAUCAUAGCUUAGCUCCCACUUAUGAGUGAGAACAUAAUGAUGUUUGGUUUUCCAUUCCUGAGUUACUUCACUUAGAAUGAUGGUUUCCAGUUGCUGUGAAUGCCAUUAAUUCAUUCCUUUCUAUUACUCAGUAAUAUUCUAUCAUACGUAUGUAUGUCACAGUUUCUUUAUCUGCUUAUUGAUUGAUGGGCAUUUGAUCCACAUUUUUGCAGUUGCCAGUUGUGCUGCUAUAAACAUGCAUUGUAUUGUGCACUUUAUUUCUAUUAUUAUUACAUACUCAUGAUAAUGUAGAAUCAGUGGGAGCCCUGAGCUUGUUUUUCUGCAACUAUAUGGUCCCAUCUGAAGGUGAUGGGAGACAGUGACAGGCAUUAGAUUCUCAUAAGGAGCAUGCACCCUGGAUCCCUUCCAUGUGCAGUUCACAACAGAUUAUAUGCUUUUAUGAGAAUCUGAUGCCACUGCUGAUCUGAGAGGUGGAGCUCAGCUUUGCUCACUCACCCACCAUUCAGCUUCGGCUGUGCAGCUUUGUUCCUAAUAGACCGCAGACCAGUAUCAUUAUUGGUCUGUGGCCCUGCCUUAAGCUGUCUUCACUCUUUUUUAUUCUUUUCUACUUUUGCUUUUCAGAUUGGAUGAUUUCUGGUGACCUGUCUUAGAGUUUACUGGUCUUUUCUUCUGCUUUAUCUAGUCUGUUAUCGGACCUGUCAUUGGACUUUUUGGUUCAGCUAUUAUAUUUUUCAUUUGUAUAAUUUGUUUGGUGCUUUCAAAAUAUAUUCUGUCACUUUGUUGAAGUUUUCAGUUUGUUUAUGCAUUGCUUUGUUGAGCUCAGUGAUCAUCUUUAUGACCAUUUAAAAAAAUUCUUUGUUGGGCAAAUUGCAUAUCAUCAUUGAGGGUCAGUUUCUGAAAAUUUAUAUUGUUCUUUCAUUUGGAACAUAUUUCUGUUUCUUUAUUUCCCUUGCUCUUGGUUUUGGCUUUUGUGCAUUAGAUAAGACUACUGCCUCUACUAGUCUUGUGAGACUGGUAUUGUGUAGGAGAUGAUUCUUUCUUAUCAGUUAGGCCAGCCAGAGUUUCUAGGUACCUCUAAAAUCUUUUUGUUUGUCCAAACUACAGUCUUUGUUGUUUCUUACAGGUCUCCAGGAAUUAGGGUGUGUCAAGUUCUGCCAGAUGAGUUAGAAGCCAGUUUCUUGAGAUGCAGGUGGGAAGGUGGGUGUGUAUGUGUGUUGCAGUUCAUUCUGUCUUUAGGGAGAAGCUGAGAGCCAGAGCUUAUCUCCCAUUCAUUCCACACUAAGCUGGAGAGAGGAUCUGUGGCACAUGCUUGCACACUUAUUUAGGCUGCACUGUCUCUCCAUUGUCUGUGCAGUUCAGGAAAGCUCAAGAAUACAAUACCCUGUUGCUCUUAGAGCUAGGUGAUUUCAGAGCCAAAUCCUCUAAGAGAACUGCAGAAGUUGGAUCACUAUAUGCAUGGUCCAACCCUUCACCUCUCAAGUAGAAUCUGGGUGUCGGGGAUUCCUUCAUGAUUGUUUGGCACAGUGCCCAGGAAGGGGUUUGUGUGCAAGUGUGUCUAAACUUUUUCUACGUGUUUGAAUGUGGAUGUUUUCUGAGUUGCCCAUGUGUAGAUUGUCAGCCAGUUUCUGGCUUUCUCUCAGAGGAAAUUGAUCUGUAUAUAGAUGUUUAUUCAGUGCUUCUGUGGGAGGAAAUAAAGCCAGGGGCUUCCUUUUCCAUCAUCUUGCUGAUAUCACUGCUAACACAUUUACAGAUCACAUUUCUAGGUGAUUUUGUUUCUGGCUGCCAUUCAAAUAGAACCAGGAGUAUUUUUUAAAAAUAUAUUAUACCAGCAUGGCCCCUUUAAGAAUUGGUUCUCAUUUUUCCUUGGCAUAUUCUCUUUCAAGAUUAAAUACUUAAGGAUGAGAAAAUAAUAUAUUGAAUUUCAGGAAGUUUAUAUUAUAUAUCUAUUUUAUUGCUGUUCACUGAGAAAGGAAAAAGUUAUAUGAAUUGUCACUUGUGGAUUUUCACAGAGCAGAUUUUGUAGGAGCAAUGACUAAAAUAAAAUGACUAUUUUAUUAUUAUUCCCUCCUCCCCACAAGCUCCACAAACUUCCCUUCUAAUUUUUUUUUGGUGUUUUCUUUUUCCCUUUCCGACUUAAAAAAUUUUAUUGUUUACUGGUAACCAGGCAUGCAUGCAUGUGUACUUAGGCAUAUAAAAUUAAAUUUUAACUGAUGGGUAAUGAAUUUGAGAAGCAGUGUUUGGAACCAGGAGGCCGUUCAGGAGGACACUGAAGCUAAUGAGAUCCUGAACUGGGGCAGAGUCAUGGAUUUGAAAAGAGAAGAUAAAAUAAGCAGGACAUUUGCUUGAUUAAAUGGUUAAGGAUAAUGAAAGAAAGAGAGGAGCAAGUAUGACUUUCUUUCUCCCCUUACAUCACCAACUGAGUUGGGGGAGUGUGGAAAAGCAAUGUUGGAGGGAGGAGGAGAGAGGGAAGGGCUGAAUGGAGAAAUGAAUUUCAUCUUGGAUAUGUUUAAUUGGCAUUAUCCCAAUUGGUUAUAAGAAUGUAAUGGUUGGGGCCAGGCGCAGUGGCUCAUGCCUGUAAUUCCAGUGCUUUGGGAGGCUGAGGCAGGAGAAUCAUGAGGUCAGGAGUUUGAGACCAACCUGGCCCACAUGAUGAAACCCCAUCUCUACUAAAAAUACAAAAAAUUACCCGGGCGUGGUGGCAGGUAUCUGUAAUCACAGGUACUUGGGUGGCUGAGGCAGAAUUGCUUGAACCAGAAGGUGGAGGUUGCAGUGAGCCGAGAUUGUGCCACUGCACUCCAGCCCUAACGACAGUGCAAAGCUUCAUCUUGUCACUUUAUAAAUUAUUUAUAAAUAAAUAAAUAAAAGAAUGUGAUGCUUGGAGAAGGGAUGAAGGCUAGAGAUAUGACACAUUUUCUUAUUUUAAAAAGUCCUUUCUUGUUUUUCUCAUCUUAAAAAUAAUAGUGUGUAUUUUUAAUGUGUGAUUUCCCCUUAAAAACAAUUAUUAUAAACAUUUAAAAAAACAAUUUUAUAACAUAUAAUCAAUGGAAUUCUAUGACUAAGGAAAUGUAGAUUUUUUGGAGUUAAAGGUUUGAUAUCUUACGGACUUUUAGUAGUAGAUGAAAUUAGCAAGGAAAAGUAUGGGGAUACAGAGAAAAGGACUUGUUCUAUGAAAAUGAUUUGUAGUUAUAGAGUGCUUUCAUUAUAUGUAUUUUGUUUUUUGAUGUUCAUAGCAGUUAUCUGAAUAUGGAAAAUGGUGGUAUUUGUAUUUUCUUUCUUUUUAAAAUUUAUUUAUUUUACUUUAGGUGCAUACUAUAUCUGGCAUUUCUCCCCAUGUUAUUCCUCCCCACCCUCCUCAUCCCUCACUGUCUCUCCCCUACCACCCCCAACUGCCCCCAGUGUGUGAUGCUCCUCUCCCUGAGCCCACUUGUUCUCGUUCAACACCCACCUAUGAGUGAGAACAUAUGGUGUUUGGCUUUCUGUUCUUGUUUCAGUUUGCUGAGAAUGAUGGUUUCCAGAUUCAUCCAAGUCCCUAUAAAGGACACGAACUCAUCGUUUUUUAUGGCGGUGUAGUAUUCCAUGGUGUAUAUGUACCAUAUUUUCUUUGUCCAGUCUAUCAUUGAUGGGCAUUUGGGUUGGUUCCAGGUCUUUGCUAUUGUACACAGGGCUGCAAUGAACAUAUGUGUGCAUGUGUCUUUAUAGUAGAAUGAUUUAUAGUUCUUUGGGUAUAUACCUAAUAAUGGGAUUGCUGGGUCAAAUGGAAUUUCUAUUUCUAGAUCCCUGAGAAAUCACCACAAUGUCCUACACAAUGGUUGAACUAAUUUACACUCCCACUAACUAGGUAAGAGUGUUCCUAUUUCUCCACAUCUUCUCCAGCAUCUGUUGUCUCCAGAUUUUUUUUUUUUUUAAUUUUUUAUUGGAUUUUAGGUUUUGGGGUACAUGAGCAGAGCAUGCAAGACAGUUGCGUAGGUACACACAUGGCAGUGUGCUUUGCUUUUCUUCUCCCCUUCACCCACAAUUGGCAUUUCUCCCCAGGCUAUCCCUCCCCACCUCCCCCUCCCACUGGCCCUCCCCUUUUCCCCCCAAUAGACCCCAGUGUUUAGUACUCCCCUUUCUGUGUCCAUGUGUUCUCAUUUUUCAUCACCCGCCUAUGAGUGAGAAUAUGCGGUGUUUCAUUUUCUGUUCUUCUGUCAGUUUGCUGAGGAUGAUGUUCUCCAGAUUCAUCCAUGUCCCUACAAACGACACAAACUCAUCAUUUCUGAUUGCUGCAUAAUAUUCCAUGGUGUAUAUGUGCCACAUUUUUCCAAUCCAGUCUAUCAUCAUUGGGCAUUUGGGUUGAUUCCAGGUCUUUCCUAUUGUAAACAGUGCUGCAAUGAACAUUCGUGUACAUGUGUCCUUAUAGUAGAACGAUUUAUAGUCUUUUGGAUAUAUACCCAGUAAUGGGAUUACUGGGUCAAAUGGAAUUUCUAUUUCUAAGGCCUUGAGGAAUCGCCACACUGUCUUCCACAGUGGUUGAACUAAUUUACACUCCCACCAACAGUGUAAAAGUGUUCCUUUUUCUCCACAUCCUCUCCAGCAUCUGUUGUCUCCAGAUUUUUUAAUGAUCGCCAUUCUAACUGGCGUGAGAUGGUAUCUCAAUGUGGUUUUGAUUUGCAUCUCUCUGAUGACCAGUGACGAUGAGCAUUUUUUCAUAUGAUUGUUGGCCUCAUAUAUGUCUUCUUUCGUAAAUUGUCUGUUCAUAUCCUUUGCCCACUUUUGAAUGGGCUUGUUUGUUUUUUUCCUGUUAAUCUGUUUGAGUUCUUUGUAAAUUCUGAAUAUCAGUCCUUUGUCAGAUGGGUAAACUGCAAAAAUUUUUUCCCAUUCUGUGGGUUGCCGAUCCACUCUAGUGACUGUUUCUUUUGCCGUGCAGAAGCUGUGGAGUUUCAUUAGGUCCCAUUUGUCUGUUUUGGCUUUUGUAGCCAAUGCUUUUGGUGUUUUGUUCAUGAAGUCCUUGCCUACUCCUAUGUCCUGGAUAGUUUUGCCUAGAUUUCCUUCUAGGGAUUUUAUUGUGCCAGGUCUUAUGUUUAAGUCUUUAAUCCAUCUGGAGUUAAUUUUAGUGUAAGGUGUCAGGAAGGAGUCCAGUUUCUGCUUUCUGCACAUGGCUAGCCAGUUUUCCCAACACCAUUUAUUAAACAGGGAAUCCUUUCCCCGUUGCUUGUUUUUGUCAGGUUUAUCAAAGAUUAUAUAGUUAUAGAUAUGUUGUGUUGCCUCCGCUGCCUCUGUUCUGUUCCAUUGGUCAAUAUCUCUGUUUUGGUACCAGUACCAUGUUGUUUUGAUUACUGUAGCCUUGUAGUAUAGUUUGAAAUCUGGUAGUGUGAUGCCCCCCGCUGUGUUCUUUUUGCUUAGAAUUGACUUGGCUAUGCGGGCUCUCUUUUGGUUCCAAAUGAAGUUCAUGGUGGUUUUUUCCAGUUCUGUGAAGAAAGUCAAUGGCAGCUUGAUGGGGAUAGCGUUGAUUCUGUAAAUACUUUGGGCAGUAUAGCCAUUAUCACGAUAUUCAUUCUUCCUACCCAUGAACAUGGAAUGUUUCUCCAUCUGUUUGUGUUCUCUCUGAUUUCGUUGAGCAGUGGUUUGUAGUUCUCCUUGAAGAGGUCCCUUACGUUCCUUGUGAGUUGUAUUCCAAGGUAUUUUAUUCUUUUUGUAGCAAUUGUGAAUGGCAGUUUGUUCUUGAUUUGGCUCUUCUUAAGUCUGUUAUUGGUGUAGACGAAUGCUUGUGAUUUUUGCACAUUGAUUUUAUAUCCUGAGACUUUGCUGAAGUUGCUUAUCAGUUUCAGGAGUUUUUGGGCUGAGGCGAUGGGGUCUUCUAGGUAUACUAUCAUGUCGUCUGCAAAUAGAGACAAUUUGGCUUCCACCUUUCCUAUUUGAAUACCCUUUAUUUCUUUUUCUUUCCUGAUUGUUCUGGCUAGAACUUCCAGUACUAUAUUGAAUAGGAGUGGUGAAAGAGGGCAUCCUUGUCUAGUGCCAGAUUUCAAAGGGAAUGCUUCCAGUUUUUGCCCAUUCAGUAUGAUAUUGGCUGUUGGUUUGUCAUAAAUAGCUUUUAUUACUUUGAGAUACGUUUCAUCGAUACCGAGUUUAUUGAGGGUUUUUAGCAUAAAGGGCUGUUGAAUUUUGUCAAAUGCCUUCUCUGCGUCAAUUGAGAUAAUCAUGUGGUUUUUGUUUUUGGUCCUGUUUAUGUGGUGAAUUACAUUGAUAGACUUGCGUAUGUUGAACCAGCCUUGCAUCCCCGGGAUGAAUCCUACUUGAUCAUGAUGAAUAAGUUUUUUGAUUUGCUGUUGGAAUCGGCUUGCCAAUAUUUUAUUGAAGAUUUUUGCAUCUAUGUUCAUCAUGGAUAUUGGCCUGAAGUUUUCUUUUCUCGUUGGUCUCUGCUGGGUUUUGGUAUCAGAAUGAUGUUGGUCUCAUAAAAUGAUUUGGGAAGGAUUCCCUCUUUUUGGAUUGUUUGAAAUAGUUUUAGAAGGAAUGGUACCAGCUCCUCCUUGUGUGUCUGGUAGAAUUCGGCUGUGAACCCGUCUGGACCUGGGCUUUUUUUGUGUGGUAGGCUCUUAAUUGCUGCUUCGACUUCUGACCUUGUUAUUGGUCUAUUCAUAGUUUCAGCUUCCUCCUGGUUUAGGCUUGGGAGGACACAGGAGUCCAGGAAUUUAUCCAUUUCUUCCAGGUUUACUAGGUUAUGUGCAUAGAGUUGUUUGUAAUAUUCUCUUAUGAUGGUUUGAAUUUCUGUGGAAUCUGUGGUGAUUUCCCCUUUAUCAUUUUUUAUUGCAUCUAUUUGGUUGUUCUCUCUUUUAUUUUUAAUCAAUCUGGCUAGUGGUCUGUCUAUUUUGUUGAUCUUUUCAAAAAACCAGCUCUUGGAUUUAUUGAUUUUUUUGAAGGGUUUUUCGUGUCUCAAUCUCCUUCAGCUCAGCUCUGAUCUUAGUUAUUUCUUGUCUUCUGCUGGGUUUUGAGUUGUUUUGAUCUUGCUUCUCUAGCUCUUUCAAUUUUGACGAUAGGGUGUCAAUUUUGGAUCUCUCCAUUCUCCUCAUAUGGGCACUUAUUGCUAUAUACUCUCCUCUAGAGACUGCUUUAAAUGUGUCCCAGAGGUUCUGGCAUGUUGUGUCUUCAUUCUCGUUGGUUUCGAAGAACUUCUUUAUUUCUGCCUUCAUUUCAUUGUUUACCCAGUCAACAUUCAAGAGCCAGUUGUUCAGUUUUCAUGAAGCUGUGCGGUUCUGGGUUGGUUUCUGUAUUCUGAGUUCUAACUUGAAUACACUAUGGUCUGAGAGGCUGUUUGUUAUGAUUUUAGUUGUUUUGCAUUUGUUGAGCAGUGCUUUACUUCUAAUUAUGUGGUCAAUUUUAGAGUAGGUGUGAUGUGGUGCUGAGAAGAAUGUGUAUUCUGUGGAUUUGGGGUGGAGAGUUCUGUAAAUGUCUAUCAGGUUUGCUUGCUCCAGGUCUGAGUUCAAGCCCUGGAUAUCCUUGUUGAUUUUCUGUCUGGUUGAUCUGUCUAAUAUUGACAGUGGAGUGUUAAAGUCUCCCACUAUUAUUGUGUGGGAGUCUAAGUCUCUUUGUAAGUCAUUAAGAUGAUGAAUUAUUUCUGUUACUUCGUUUUCCUUCUACCAGUCUAGCCCCUUCACUGUACGACUGCUGAGGUCCACUCCAGGCCCUGCUUGUCUGGGGUGCACCUAUAGCAGCUGUGGCACAGUGAGGGAUGCUACCAGUUUCUUUUUCUACUAUCUUUGUCCCAGGAUGGUGCCUGCCAAAUGGGGUUGUUCGUUUAUUUCUUGUAUAUCUGUUUUAGUUUUAGUUUUUUUAUGGAUUCUAUAUAAUUAGCUUUUUGUCAGAUGGGUAGAUUGCAGAAUUUUUUUCCCCAUUCCGUUGGUUGCCGAUUUGCUCUGAUGCUGGUUUCUCUUUGCUGUACAGAAGCUCUGGAGUUUAAUUAGAUCCCAUUUGUCUAUCUUGGCUUUUAUUGCCUUUGCUUUUGGUGUCUUAGUCGUGAAGUCCUUGCCUUUGCCUAUGUCCUGGAUGGUUUUGCCUAUGCUUUCUUCUAGUGUUUUUAUGGUGUUACAGUUUAUGUUUAAAUCUUUGAUCCAUCUGGAGUUAAUUUUAGUGUAAGGUGACAGGCAGGGGUCCAGUUUCUGCUUUCUGCACAUUGCUAACCAGUUUUCCCAACACGAUUUGUUAAACAUGGAGUCCUUUCCCCAUUGCUUGUUUUUGUUGGGUUUGUAAAAGAUCAGAUGAUUGUAGAUGUGUUGUGUUGCCUCCGAGGCCACUGUUCUGUUCCAUUGGUCUGUGUCUCUGUUUUGGUACCAGUACCAUGCUGUUUUGAUUACUGUAGCCUUGUAGUAUAGUUUGAAGUCCAGCAAUGUGAUGCCUCCCACUUUGUUCUUUCUGCUUACGAUUGUCUUGGCUAUGCAGGGUCUUUUGUGAUUCCAUAUGAAGUUUAAAGUGUUUUUUUACUGUUCUGUGAAGAAGGUCAUUGGUAGCUUGAUGGGGAUAGCAUUGAAUAUAUAGAUUACUUUGGGCAGUAUGGCCAUUUUAACAAUAUUGAUUCUUCCUAACCAUGAGCAUGGAAUAUUUCUCUACCUGUUUGUGUUGUCUCUUAUUUCGUUCAGCAGUGGUUUGUAGUUCUCCUUGAAGAGGUCCUUUACAUCCUUUGUCAGUUGUAUUCCUAGGUAUUUUAUUCUCUUUGUAGCAAUUGUGAAUGGGAGUUCACUCUUGAUUUGACUCUCUGUUUGUCUGUUAUUGGUAUGUAGGAAUGCUUGUGAUUUCUGCACAUUGAUUUUGUAUCCUGAGACUUUGCUGAAGUUGCUUAUCAAUUUCAGGAGUUUUUGGGUUGAGACGAUGGGGUCUUCUAGAUAUAAAAUCAUGUGAUCUACAAAUAGAAGUAGUUUGACUUCCUCUUUUCCUAAUUGAAUACUCUUUAUUUCUUUUUCUUGCGUGAUUGCUCUGCUAGAACUUCCAAUACUGUGUUGAAUAGGAGUGAUGAGAGAGGGCAUCCUUGUCUAGUGCCUGAUUUCAAAGGGAAUUCUUCCAACUUUUGCCCAUUCAGUAUGAUAUUGGCUGUAGGUUUGUCAUAUAUAGCUUUUAUCAUUUUAUGAUACAUUCCAUCAAUACCUAGUUUAUUGAGAGUUUUUAGCAUGAAGGGCUGUUGAAUUUUGUUGAAGGCCUUCUCUGCAUCUAUUGAGAUAGUCAUGUUGUUUUUGUCUUUGGUUCUGUUUAUGUGAUAGAUUACAUUAAUGGAUUUGCAUAUGUUGAACCAGCCUUGUAUCCCCAGGAUGAAGCAUACUUGGUCAUGAUGGAUAAGCUUCUUGAUGUGCUGUUGCAAUCUGUUUGCCAGUAUUUUAUUGAAGAUUUUUGCAUCGAUGUUCAUCAUGGAUACUGGCCUGAAGUUUUCUUUUUUAGUUGAGUCUCUGCCUGGUUUUUCUAUGAGGAUCAUGUUGGUCUCAUAAAAUGAGUUAGGGAGGAUUCCCUCAUUUUGUAUUGUUUGAUACAGUUUCAGAAGGAAUGGAACCAGCUCCUCUUUGUACAUCUGGUAGAAUUCGGCUGUGACCCCAUCUGGACAUGGACUUUUUUUGAUUGCUGCCUCUACUUCCGCCCUUGUUAUUGGUCUAUUCAGGGUUUCAACUUCCUCCUGGUUUAGUCUUGGUAGAGUACAAGUGUCUAGGAAUUUAUCCAUUUCAUCCUGUUUUACUGGUUUAUGUGAGUAGAGCUGUUUGUAGUAAUCUCUGAUGGUACUUUAUAUUUCUGUGGGAUCAGUGGUGAUAUCCCCUUUAUCGUUUUUUAUUGUAUCUAUUUGAUUAUUCUCUCUUUUCUUUUUUAUUAAUCUGGCUACUGGUCUAUUUUGUUGAUCUUUUCAAAAAACCAGCUCCGGGAUUUAUUGAUUUUUUUGAAGGAUUUUUUAUGUCUCUAUCUUCUUCAGUUCUCCUCUGAUCUUAGUUAUUUCUUGUCUUUUGCUUGCUUUUGAGUUUUUUUGAUCUUGCUUCUCUAGCUUUUUCAAUUUUGAUGAUAGGGUGUAGACUUUUGAUCUUUCCUCUCUUCUCUGGUGGGCAUUUAUUGCUGUAAAUUUCCCUCUCGACACUGCUUUAAAGAUGUCCCAGAGAUUCUGGUAAGUUGUAUCUUCCUUCUGGUUGGUUCCGAAGAACAUCUUUAUUUCUGCCUUCAUUUCAUUGUUUAUCCAGUCAACAUUCAGAAGCAAGUUGUUCAAUUUCCAAGUGGUUGUGCGAGUUUGAGUGUGUUUCUUGAUUCUGGGUUCUACUCUGAUUGUGCUGUGGUCUGUUAGACUGUUUGUUCUGAUUUCUGUUCUUUUGCAUUUGCUGAGGAGUAAUUUACUUCCAAUGAUGUGGUCAAUUUCAGAGAAAGUGCAGUGUGGUGCUGAAAAAAAUGUAUAUUCUGUGGAUUUGGGGUGGAGCAUUCUGUAUAUGUCUAUUAGGUUCGUUUGGUCCAGCUCUGCAUUCAAGUCCUGGAUAUCCUUGUUAAUUUUCUGUCUCAUUGAUCUAUCUAAUAUUGACAGUGGAGUGUUGAAGUCUCCCACUAUUAUCGUGUGGGAGUCUAAAUCUUGUUUUAAGUCAUUAAGAACUUGCUUUAUGUAUCUGGGCACUCCUGUGUUCUGGGGGGGGGUGUAUGUAUUUAGGAUAGUUAGCUCUUCCUCUUGGAUUGAUCCUUUUACCAUCAUGUAGUGUCCUCCUUUGUCUCUUUUGAUCUUUGUUGGUUUGAAGUCCAUUUUUAUCAGAGACUGGGAUUGCAACCUCUUCUUUUUUUUGUUCUCCAUUUGCUUGGUAAAUCUUCUUCCACCCCUUUAUUUUGAGUCUAUGUGUGUCUUUGUAUGUGAGAUGGGUUUUCUGAAGACAGCAUACCAAUGGGUUCUGACUUUUUCUCCAGUUUUCCAGUCUGUGUCUUUUGAUUAGGGCAUUUGGGCCAUUUCCAUUCAAUGUUAACAUUGUUAUGUGUGAAUUUAAUCCUGCCAUUUUGUUACCAGCUCGUUUUCUUUCCCAUUAGUUGACUCAUUUUCUUCAUUGCAUUUUUGGUCUUUUCUAACUGGUUUGCUUUUGACUGCCUGUGACUGGUACUUGUUCCUUUCCAUGCUUAGUGUUUCUUUCAGGAGCUCUUGUAGGGCAGGUCUGGUGGUGACAAAAUCUCUCAAUAAUUGCUUGUCUGUGAAGGAUUUUAUUUCUCCUUCACUUACAAAGCUUAGGUUUGCUGGAUAUAAGAUUCUGGGUUGAAAGUUCUUUUCUUUAAGGAUGUUGAAUAUUCGCCCCAUUCUCUUCUGGAAUGUAGGGUUUCUGCCGAGAGAUCUGCUGUGAGUCUGAUGGGCUUCCCUCUGUGGGUGACCUGACCUUUCUUUCUGGCUGCCCUUAGCAUUUUUCCUUCAUUUCAACCCUUGCGAAAUUGACAAUUAUGUGCCUCGAGGUUGCUCUUCUUGAGGAAUAUCUUCGUGGAAUUCUUUGUAUUUCUGGCAUUUGAAAUUUGGACUGCCUUGCUAGGCUUCGGAAUUUCUUCUGGAUAUUAUCCUGGAUUGUGUUUUCCAGCUUGGAUUCAUUCUCCCCAUCAUAUUUGGGUACACCGAUCAAGUGUAGAUUAGGUCUUUUCAUAUAAUCUCAUAUUUCUUGGAGGCUUUGUUCAUUUCUUUUUACUCUUUUUUCUCUUGUCUUGCCUUCUCUUUAUAUUUCAUUGCAUUGAUCUUCAAUCUCAUAUCCUUUCUUCUGCCUGAUCGAUUCAGCUAUUAAAACUUGUAUUCACUUCACAUGGUUCUCGUACUGUGUUUUCAAUUCCAUCAAGUCGUUUAUGUUCUUCUCUAAGCUGGUUAUUCUAGUUAGAAUUUCAUCUAACCUUUUUUCAAGGUUUUUGGUUUCUUUGAAUUGAGUUAGAACGUGUUUCUUUAGCUCAGAAAAGUUUGUUAUUAUCCACGUUCUGAAGCUUGUUUUUGUCAGUUUGUCACACUCCUCAGGAGAGUUGUGAUCCUAUGUUGAGGAAUUGUGAUCCUUUGAUGGAGGUGUUCUGGUGUUUCAUGUUUUCAUCUUUUUUGUGCUGCUUUUUUUUCCAUCUUUGUGGAAUUAUCUGGCUGUGGUGUCAGGGUGCUGCUUGAUGAGGUCGCUUGUGUGCCUGUGGAGGUGCUACUGAGUUUCUAGAGACUCCUGCAGCUUAGUAGGGAAGCUUCCUAUGUCUUUUUUGUUUGUACUGGGAGAUUAGGUCCGCCUCUUCCGCUGACCUAUAGGUGCUCCUGGGUUGUCAAGAACACUGUCCUGUUGCUACAUAGGCUUCCUGUGUUUUUUGUUAAAACAUGUAUCCCAGUCCCAACCCUCUGGUGGUGGGUUGUGCCGCUCCUCCAUUGGGCUGGAUCAUUCAGGGAUCAUCUCAUUCUGUGGCACUGGCUGUGUAACCCACUAGAGUCAGAGCUUAGCUCUCUGGGGUUUGUGGGGGAGGGUAGGGACCUGCAGGCUCUUAUUCAACUCCAUGCUUGUAAUUCCUGGCACUUGACUGGCAAAGAUCCCCUUUUUUGUGUAUUUCUGAGGCUUUGUCGGAAGCACUGUAUCUGGACCAGAGUGCCAGAGAGGGAGUCUCUGACUUGCUGGUCAGGUGCACUUUCUGGGUGAAGCAGUACCCUUCCCCGCCUUGGUCUGCCCCAAGUGGGCUUUGUUCACCAUUGGACCAGACCUGUUGAAAUGCACCUGGUACCUUGGUUGGAGCUAGAAGAUCUCUGGAUUUCUGCGUCUCUCUUGCUGGGUGUUGUAUGCUGGAGUUGUAUCUAAUCUGCCAUCUUGGAUCUUCUUGGGUGUUUAUAUUUUCAAAUGAAGAAACUCAUCUUCAUAGUGUGGAUACAGGGAUAGUUUUUUUAAAAAUUAACUUUUAUUAUAAUUGUCUUAUUGAAUGGUUAUACACAAGUGUUCUGUUCUCAUUUGUUUUUUUUUUUUUACAAAUGGAAGCAAGAAUGAAAUGAAGGAAACUGCAUUGAUAUAGUACUCUUUUCCACCCUUGAAUCUCACAUCCAGAUUCAAAUGUUAAAAUUUUACCACAUUUAUUCUUUUUCUCCUUUAUAUAUAUGUGCAAACACAGACAUUUUCCUCCUGAAUGUAUACCCAAAAUGAUUCUAUACCCUUAAAUAUUUCAGUGUUAGUUUCCUGCAUUAGUUGGUUUUCAUGCUGCUGGUAAAGACAUACCUGAAACUGGGAAUAAAAAUAGGUUUCAUUGGCCUUACAGUACCACAUGGCAAGGGAGGUCACAGAAUCAUGGCAGGAGGCAAAAGAUGUCACUUCUUACAUGGUGGCAGCAAGAGAAAAUGAGAAAGAAGCAAAAGUAGAAACUCCUGAUAAAUCCAUCAGAUCUCAUGAGACUUAUUAACUAUAAUGAGAAUAGUACAGCAAAGACUGGCCCUCAUGAUUCAAUUACCUUGCCCUAGGUCCCUCUCACAACACUUGGGAAUUCUGUCACAUACAAUUCAAGUUGAGAUUUGGAUUGGGACACAGCCAAACCACAUCACUCUGCCCCUGGCCCCUCCAAAUCUUCUGUCCUCAUAUUUCAAAACCAAUCUUGCCUUCCCAACAGUCCCCCAGAGUCUUAACUCAUAUCAGCAUUAACCCAAAAGUCCACAGUCCAAAGUCUCAUUUGAGACAAGGCAAGUCCCUCCUGCUUGUGAGCAUGUAAAAUAAAAGUAAGCUAGUUACUUCCCAGAUACAAUGGAGGUACAGAUAUUGGGUAAAUACAGCCAUUCCAAAUGGAAUAAAUUGACCAAAACAAAGUGGUUACAGGGCCCAUGCAAGUCCAGAAUCCAGCAGGGCAGUCAAAUUUUAAGGCUCCAAAAUGAUCUCCUUGGACUGCAGGUCUUACAUCCAGGUCAUGCUGAUGUAAGAGGUAGUAGGUUCCCAUGAUCUUGGGUAGCUCUGCCCCUGUGGUUUUGAAGAGUACAGCCUCCCUCCCAGCUGCUUUCACAGGCUGGUGUUUAGUGUCUCCAACUUUUCCAGGCGCACUGUGUAGUCAGUGGAUCUGCUGUUCUGGGAUCUGGAGGACGGUGGCCCUCUUCUCACAGCUCCAUUAGGCGGUGCCCAGUAGGGAUUCUGUGUGGGGGCUCUGACUCCGCAUUUCCCUUCCACGCUGCCCUAGCAGAGAUUGUCCAUGAGGACCCCACCCCUGCUGCAAACUUCUGCCUGGGCAUCCAGUCAUUUCCAUACAUCCUCUAAAAUCUAGGCGGAGGUUCCCAAACCUCAGUUCUUGACAUUUGUUCUGCCACAGGCUCGAUACCACAUGGAAGUUACCAAGAUUUGGGUCUUCUACCUUCUGAAGCCACAACCUGAGCUAUACAUUGGCCCCUUCCAGCCAUGGCUGGAGCAGAGCGGCUGGAACACAGGGCAGCAAGUCCCUAGGCUGCACAUAGCACAGGGACCAUGGGCCUGGCCCACAAAACCACUUUUUCCUCCUGGACCUCUGGGCCUGUGAUGGGAGGGGCUGCCAUGAAUGUCUGGCAUGGCCUGGAGACAUUUUCCCCAUGGUCUCAGGGAUUAGUAUCUUGAUAUCUUAUAGACUCUUAACAGUAAUAGGUGAAAUUAGCAAGAAAAGUUUGGGGUUACAGAGAAAACGACUGGUUCUAUGAAAAUGAUUUGUAGCUUCUUGAUACUUUGGAAAUUAGACUCCUUGCUACUUACUCAAAUUUCUGUGGCCAGCUUGAAUUUCUCCCCAGAAAUGGGUUUUUCUUUUCUAUCACAUAGUCAGGCUGCAAAUUUUUCCAAACUUCUAUGCUCUGCUUCCCUUAUAAUACUGAGUGCCUUUAACAGAACCCAAGUCACCUCUUGAAUGCUUUGCUGCCUAGAAAUUUCUUCCACCAGAAUACCCUAAAUCAUCUUUCUCAAGUUCAGAGUUGCACAGACCGACCUCUAGGGCAGGGGCAAAAUGCUGCCAGUCUCUUUGCUAAAACAUAACAAGAGUCACCUUUACUCCAGUUCCCAAUAAGUUCCUCACCUAUAUCUGAGACCACCACAGCCUGAACCUUAUUGUCAGCAUUAUCGCUUAUCGCUAUCAGCAUUUUGGGCAAAGCCAUUCAACAAAUCUCUAGGUGGUUCCAAACUUUCCCACAUUUCCUGUCUUCUUCUGAGCCUUCCAAACUGUUCCAACCUCUGCCUAUUCCCUGGUUCCCAAGUUGCUUCCACAUUUUCAGGUAGCUUUUCAGCAACGCCCUACUCUGUUGUUACCAAUUUAUUAGUCUGGUUUCAUGCUGCUGAUAAAGACACACCCGAGAUUCAGAAGAAAAAGAGGUUUAAUUGGACUUACAGUUCCACAUGGCUGGGGAGGCCUCAGAAUCAUGGCCAGGAAGCAGGAGACACUUCUUACAUGGUAGCAGCAAGAGAAAAAUGAGGAAGAAGCAAAAGUAAAAGCCUGUGAUAAACCCAUCAGAUCUUAUGAGACUUAUUAACUAUAAUGAAAAUAGCAUGGGAAAGACUGGCCUCCAUAAUUCAGUUAUCUUGCCCUGGGUCCCACCCACAACACGUGGGAAUUCUGGGAGCAACAAUUCAAGUUGAGAUUUGAUUGAGGACCCAACCAAACCAUAUCACCUCCUAAUAACAAAGAUUUUACAUAAUCACAGUAUGUUAGAUAAAAUCAGGAAAUUAUCAUUGAUGUAAUACUGUCAUCUAUAGAACUUAUUCACAUUUCAUCAAUUGUUCCAAUAAUAUCAGGGACAACAAAUUUGUCAAGCUCUACAAGUAUUAAUGAAGGACAGUGCCACAUAAAUAAAGCAUACCCUUAGAUUGAAAUUAGAGCAUUUGUAAAGAAGUUGCCUUCUGAGAUAAUUAAUGGCCAUGAGCCUCUGUUAAUAUGUUUGCCGUCCUUAUAUCCUACAAUUUGACUUUGAAUUUUAGGGAGAAUAGGGAGUAGUAGAGAGUAAAUCAUUUUUGUUUUUGCUAUUUGACCCUUUCCAGUUCCUGACAGAAUAGUAGUGCAUGCCCAGAACGUCCUUUGGGAGGAAUCCUAGCAUUGUUUUCCUCACUUUGCUGUAACUCUUUCUUUCUUGUCUUUCUUUCAUACUUAUUAAGCAUGUGCUGAGCACUGAAUUAAAAUGAUAGAACCAUGUGUAUGUACUGAUUGUGCUGUUUUAUUCUUAGGGAAUAGGUUGUUUGGGCAGAAACCACUUAAAAACAUUUCUGGGUAAACUUUUAUUAUAUCUUGCAGGGAUAUAAAAGUGACCCUUUAUAGACUCUUUGUUUGUUUGGACCCUCCUUGGUAUUUCUUUUUACUUUUUAGACAUUGGAUCUUGUUAUGUUGCCCAGGCUGGAGUGCAGUGGCUCCAGCACUGCAACCUUGAAUUCCUGCACUCAAGCAUCCCUUCUCCAUCAGUCUCCCAGGUAGCUGGGACUAUAGGCUCAUGCCAUCUCACUAGGCUUUCCUUGGUAUUUCUUAAACAUGCGUUUAGCAUUUCUUAAGGAAUGCCUCGAUGUAAACCUUAAACGUGAAUACGCUAUAUCGUUCCUCAAGGCCUUUGUGCCUAUUGUUCCAUUUACCUUAACUACUCUUUCCCCAGAUAGCUGCAUGGUUUGUUCCCCUAACUCCUUCAAAUCACUCGUCAAAUAGAACUUUCCUUGACCAUAUAAUAACUACCUUUCCCUCCCGCUUCCUCACCUGUACUCCCUAUCCAUUUUCUCCAUAAAAUUCACCAUAUUGGUACAUUAUUACUUUCACAGCUUUGCUUGUAUACUGUCUUCCAUAGGAGUAUAAGUUCCAUGAUGGCUGGAGUUUAUCUGUUUAGUUUACUGUAUCCCCAGAGCCUUUAAUAGUGUGUUGACGUAGUAGACUCUCAGUAAAUCUUUGCGAGGUGAUACAUGUGCUGCUGUUCUCAGUCUGAUUGUGACAGUUUUUUCCCCUAAAAAAAUAGCAAUUCUGAGGGAAUUAUUUAAAUACUACAACUUAAGUGCUGUCUUUCUGAGUAGGGAAGCUUUAAAAUAAUUUGUUUUAGAACUUUUCUUUCAAAGGUUUUAUUUUCUAUUAUGUUAUUUGGUUCUACACAAUUUUCUUACCAAAUAUAUUGAAAAGAAUGAUUAUAAUGAGUUAAAUAUCAAUUAUUUUGUUUUUUAAUAAAAUGAAAAUGCUUUCUUACUUAAUGUUAGUCUUCAGACCAAUUUUAGAAGAAAUUAAUUACAUCCAUUUUUAUGGGUGAUGUUUGUACUUGCUGGGCUAUUUGAGUUUUUUUUUUUUAAAGAUAGGAUUUAUUUAAUUAUUUAUUUAUUUAGUGACGGAAUUUUGCUCCUGUCACCUAGGCUGGAGUGCAAAGGUGAUAUCUAGGCUGACUGAAAAUUUUGCCUCCUGGGUUCAGGUAGUUUUCUCGCCUCAGCCUUCCAAGUAGCUGGGACCACAGGUGCCCACCACCAAACCCAGCUAUUUUUUGUAAUUUUAAUAGAGACGGGGUUUCACCAUGCUGGCCAGGCUGGUCUCAAACUCCUGACCUCAGAUGAUCUGCCUGCCUUGGCCUUCCAAACUGUUGGAAUUACCGGCCCAAGCUACCAUGCUCUGCCAAGAUAGGAAACGUUCUGUGAACUUAUUUUUGAGUGAUCACAAUCACUUGCCUUCUAUUAAUGCUUCCUAUUAGUAAAUGAUUGAUUAAAUAGUAUGUGGAAACUUUCUUCUGAUCAGCAAUAUGGUAAGUCUUUUGAAGUUUAUAAAAGUUGGGCAGGAACUCUAGUUGUAAAAUGUUAUCCUUAUAUGUCAUAUUUGAGCAUUGCCAAUGCUUCUUUACAGGAAAAUGUGAAGGUUGCAUAGGUAACCACUGGUGACUAGGUCAUAGCGAAAUACAUUAGUAGCUUUAAGAUUACUUAAAAAGGGGAGGAGGACUCAAGAUGGCGCUGUGAGAACAACCCAGGAUUGAGGCUCUUGCUGGAUGCGCGGAAAGGGUGAGUCGGGGACGCAUUUCCAGACCGACCUUUGUUGCCCACAGAACGGGGAAAUUCCCAGAUAUAAAACAAACGCGGGAUGCCAUCCAGAGAUCUUGACUGGUGUAGCCAGCAGCCAGUGCAGCUGCGGCCUGCACCGGAGCGCAGAGGCGCUCCACAGUUCCGCACAAAAGCGCACUGUUCCGGGUGCCCUGUUGAACUGGCAACCCGAGACCUGAGAGGGCUGAACUUGAGACUGAACGGGACUUGAACAGUGAGCCAGCCCGGGACAAAGCAUUAGGGGUAGCGCAGUGCGACAAACAAAACGGCGAUUCCAAACGCUCGCUCUUAGGAGGUUCCCUUAAAGUGCAGCUCCCUGUGGAAGGGGCGUCCGCCAUUACCGAGGCAAUCAGCCCCUACUGAGGUACACGCCCAUUGCUGAUGCAGCCUGCCGUUGCCGAGACAACCCAGUACAACAGAGAGACUCCGCCGCAGGGCAGAGCCCGCGGCUGCAGGGUGGAGACCGCAGCAGAAGGGCAGAGCCUGCAGAAACAGGGCGAACCUCACACCAGCAGGGCGGAGCCUCGGCAGGACAAGUCUGCCUCCUAGCUGGGCAGGACAACCCGUCAAAAAUAAAGCCCCAACCUUUUCAGAAAGAGCAGCUGAGAAAAAAGGGGCCUUUUUAUGAGUUCUGUUGCAGCCGAAUUAAACAUAGCAGCCUAACAGCCCUGAAUGAACAUCAGAGCUCACAGCUCAGCACUUGAGCUCCUAUAAAGUACAGACUGUCACCUCAAGCAGCUCCCUGACCCCUCUAUAUCCAAAAGACUGACAUUUGGCAGGCAUCAUUCUGGGACAAAGAUAGCAGAAAAAGAAACUGGUAGCAUUCCUACUGUUCCGCAGCUGCUAUAGGUGUACCCCAGACAAGCAGGGCCUGGAGUGGACCUCUGCAGUCGUACAGCAAAGGGGCUAGACUGGUAGAAGGAAAACCAAGUAACAGAAAUACCACAUCAUCAACAAUCUGGCUGUCCACCCAGAGACCCAAUCGAAAAGUCAGCAACUACACAGACGACAGGUGGAUAAAUCCACAAAGAUGGGAAGAAACCAGCGCAAAAAGGAAGAAAACACCCGAAACCAGAACAACUCGCCUCCUAGAAAGGACCAAAACUCCUCACCAGCAAGGGAACAAAGAUGGAUGGAGAAUGACUGUGACGAAAUGACGGAACUAGACUUCAGAAGGUGGAUAAUGAGAAAGUUUUGUGAGCUAAAAGAACAUGUUUCAAAUCAAUGCAAAGAAACUAAGAACCUUGAAAAAAGAUUUGAGGAAAUGAUAACAAGAAUGGAUAACUUAGAGAGGAAUAUGAAUGAAUUAAAGGAGCUGAAAAACACAAUACGAGAACUUUGCGAAGCAUGCACAAGUUUCAAUAGCCGAAUUGACCAAGCAGAAGAAAGAAUUUCAGAAGUCGAAGAUCAACUCAAUGAAAUAAAACGAGAAACCAAGAUCAGAGAAAAAAGCGCAAAAAGGAACGAACAAAGUCUCCAAGAAAUGUGGGACUAUGUGAAGAGACCUAACCUACGUUUGAUAGGCGUACCAGAAUGUGACGAAGAGAAUGAAUCCAAGCUGGAAAAUACUCUUCAGGACAUUAUCCAGGAAAAUUUUCCCCACCUAGCAAGACAGGCCAACACUCAAUUGCAGGAAAUACAGAGAACACCACAAAGAUAUUCCGCAAGAAGAGCAACACAAGGCACAUAAUCGUCAGAUUCAACAAGGUUGAAAUAAAGGAGAAAAAACUAAGGGCAGCCAAAGAGAAAGGUCGGGUCACCCACAAAGGGAAGCCCAUCAGACUCACAGCAGAUGUCUCGGCAGAAACUCUGCAAGCCAGAAGAGAGUGGGUGCCAAUAUUCAACAUCCUUAAAGAAAAGAACUUUCAACCCAGAAUUUCAUAUCCAGCCAAACUGAGCUUCAGAAGUGAAGGAAAAAUAAAAUCCUUUGUGAACAAGCAAGUACUCAGACAUUUUGUCACCAGCAGGCCUGCUUUACAAGAGCUCCAGAAAGAGGCACUACACAUAGAAAGGAACAACCAGUACCAGCCAUUCCAAAAUCACAUUAAUUGCUAAAGAGCAUCAACAUAAUGAAGAAUCUGCAACAACUAAUGGGCAAAACAGCCAGCUAGCAUAAAAAUGGCAGUAUCAAAUUCACACAUAACAAUACUAACCCUAAAUGUAAAUGGACUAAAUGCACCAAUCAAAAGACACAGACUGGCAAAUUGGAUAAAAAUCCAAAACCCAUCAGUGUGCUGUAUCCAGGAAACCCAUCUCACAUGCAAGGAUACACAAAGGCUCAAAAUAAAGGGAUGGAGGAAGAUUUACCAAGAAAAUGGAGAGCAAAAAAAAAGCAGGAGUUGCAAUUCUCAUCUCUGAUAAAAUAGACUUUAAAGCAACAAAGAUCAAAAGAGACAAAGAAGGCCAUUACAUAAUGGUAAAAGGAUCGAUACAACAAGAAGAGCUAACAAUCAUAAACAUAUAUGGUCCCAACACAGGAGCACCCAGAUACAUAAGGCAAGUUCUUAAAGACUUACAAAGAGACUUAGACUCCCACACAAUUAUAGUGGGAGACUUUAACACCCCACUGUCAAUAUUAGACAGAUCAACCAGACAGAAAAUCAACAAGGAUAUCCAGGGCUCGAACUCAGACCUGGAGCAAGCAAACUUGAUAGACAUCUACAGAACUCUCCACCCCAGAUCCACAGAAUAUACAUUCUUCUCAGCACCACAUCACACCUACUCUAAAAUUGACCACAUAAUUGGAAGUAAAGCACUGCUCAGCAAAUGCAAAGCAACUGAAAUCAUAACAAACAGCCUCUCAGACCAUAGUGCAAUCAAGUUAGAACUCAGAAUUCAGAAACCAACCCAGAACUGCACAGCUUCAUGGAAACUGAACAACUGGCUCUUGAAUGUUGACUGGAUAAACAACGAAAUGAAGGCAGCAAUAAAGAAGUUCUUCGAAACCAACGAGAACGAAGACACAACAUGCCAGAAUCUCUGGGACACAUUUAAAGCAGUCUCUAGAGGAAAGUAUAUAGCAAUAAGUGCCCAUAUUAGAAGAAUGGAGAGAUCCAAAAUUGACACCCUAUCAUCAAAAUUGAAAGAGCUAGAGGAGCAAGAUCAAAACAACUCAAAACCCAGCAGAAGACAAGAAAUAACUAAGAUCAGAGCUGAACUGAAGGAGAUUGAGACACGAAAAACCCUCCAAAAAAAUCAAUAAAUCCAAGAGCUGGUUUUUUGAAAAGAUCAACAAAAUAGACAGACCACUAGCCAGAUAGAUCAAAAAGAAAAGAGAGAACAACCAAAUAGAUGCAGUAAAAAAUGAUAAAGGGGAAAUCACCACAGAUUCCACAAAAAUUCAAACCAUCAUAAGAGAAUAUUACAAACAACUCUACGUACAUAAGCUAGCAAACCUGGAAGAAAUGGAUAAAUUCCUGGACUCCUGUGUCCUCCCAAGCCUAAACCAGGAGGAAGCUGAAACUAUGAAUAGACCAAUAGCAAGGUCAGAAGUCGAGGCAGCAAUUAAGAGCCUACCACACAAAAAAAGCCCAGGUCCAGAUGGGUUCAUAGCCGAAUUCUACCAGACACACAAGGAGGAGUUGGUACCAUUCCUUCUGAAACUAUUUUAAAUAAUCCAAAAAGAAGGAAUCCUUCCCAAAUCAUUCUAUGAGACCAAUAUCAUCCUGAUACCAAAACCCGGCAGAGACCCAACAAGCAAAGAAAACUUCAGGCUAAUAUCCAUGAUGAACAUAGAUGCAAAAAUAUUCAAUAAAAUAUUGGCAAGCUGAUUGCAACAGGAAAUCAAGAAACUUAUUCAUCAUGAUCAAGUAGGAUUCAUCCUGGGGAUGCAAGCCUGGUUCAACAUACGCAAGUCUAUCAACGUAAUUCACCACAUAAACAGAACCAUAAACAAAAACCACAUGAUUAUCUCAAUUGAUGCAGAGAAGGCAUUUGACAAAAUUCAACAGCCCUUUAUGCUAAAAACCCUCAAUAAACUCGGUAUCGAUGGAACGUAUCUCAAAGUAAUAAAAGCUAUUUAUGACAAACCAACAGCCAAUAUCAUACUGAAUGGGCAAAAACUGGAAGCAUUCCCUUUGAAAUCCGGCACUAGACAAGGAUGCCCUCUUUCACCACUCCUAUUCAAUAUAGUACUGGAAGUUCUAGCCAGAACAAUCAGGAAAGAAAAAGAAAUAAAGGGUAUUCAAAUAGGAAAGGUGGAAGCCAAAUUGUCUCUGUUUGCAGAUGACAUGAUAGUAUACCUAGAAGACCCCAUCACCUCAGCCCAAAAACUCCUGAAACUGAUAAGCAACUUCAGCAAAGUCUCAGGAUACAAAAUCAAUGUGCAAAAAUCACAAGCCUUCCUCUACACCAAUAACAGACUUAAAGCCAAAUCAAGAACGAACUGCCAUUCACAAUUGCUACAAAAAGAAUAAAAUACCUUGGAAUACAUCUCAUAAGGAAUGUAAGGGACCUCUUCAAGGAGAACUACAAACCACUGCUCAACGAAAUCAGAGAGGACACAAACAGAUGGAGAAACAUUCCAUGUUCAUGGUUAGGAAGAAUUAAUAUCGUGAAAAUGGCUAUACUGCCCAAAGUAAUUUACAGAAUCAACGCUAUCCCCAUCAAGCUACCAUUGACUUUCUUCACAGAACUGGAGAAAACCACCACGAACUUCAUAUGGAACCAAAAGAGAGCCCGCAUAGCCAAGUCAAUUCUAAGCAAAAAGAACACAGCGGGGGGCAUCACACUACCAGAUUUCAAACUAUACUACAAGGCUACAGUAAUCAAAACAGCAUGGUACUGGUACCAAAACAGAGAUAUAGACCGAUGGAACAGAACAGAGGCAACAGAGGCAACACAACAUAUCUACAACUAUACAAUCUUUGAUAAACCUGACAAAAACAAGCAAGGGGGAAAGGAUUCCCUGUUCAACAAAUGGUGUUGGGAAAACCGGCUAGCCAUGUGCAGAAAGCAGAAACUGGAUCCCUUGCUGACACCUUACACUAAAAUUAACUCCAGAUGGAUUAAAGACUUAAACAUAAGACCUGGCACAAUAAAAACCCUUGAAGGAAAUCUAGGCAAAACUAUCCAGGACAUAGGAGUAGGCAAGGACUUCAUGAACAAAACACCAAAAGCAUUGACAACAAAAGCCAAAACAGACAAAUGGGACCUAAUGAAACUCCACAGCUUCUGCACGGCAAAAGAAACAGUCACUAGAGUGGAUCGGCAACCCACAGAAUGGGAAAAAAUUUUUGCAGUUUACCCAUCUGACAAAGGGCUGAUAUUCAGAAUUUACAAAGAACUCAAACAGAUUAACAGGAAAAAAACAAACAAGCCCAUUCAAAAGUGGGCAAAGGAUAUGAACAGACACUUUACAAAAGAAGACCUAUAUGAGGCCAACAAUCAUAUGAAAAAAUGCUCAUCGUCACUGGUCAUCAGAGAGAUGCAAAUCAAAACCACAUUGAGAUACCAUCUCACGCCAGUUAGAAUGGCGAUCAUUAAAAAAUCUGGAGACAACAGAUGCUGGAGAGGAUGUGGAGAAAAAGGAACACUUUUACACUGUUGGUGGGAGUGUAAAUUAGUUCAACCACUGUGGAAGACAGUGUGGCGAUUCCUCAAGGCCUUAGAAAUAGAAAUUCCAUUUGACCCAGCAAUCCCAUUACUGGGUAUAUAUCCAAAAGACUAUAAGUCGUUCUACUAUAAGGACACAUGUACACGAAUGUUCAUUGCAGCACUGUUUACAAUAGCAAAGACUUGGAAUCAACCCAAAUGCCCAUUGAUGAUAGACUGGAUUGGAAAAAUGUGGCACAUAUACACCAUGGAAUAUUAUGCAACAAUCAGAAAUGAUGAGUUUGUGUCGUUUGUAGAGACAUGGAUGAAUCUGGAGAACAUCAUCCUCAGCAAACUGACACAAGAUCAGAAAACGAAACACCGCAUAUUCUCACUCAUAGGCGGGUGAUGAAAAAUGAGAUCACAUGGACACAGAGAGAAGAGUACUAAACACUGGGGUCUAUUUGGGGGAAAUGGGGAGGGCCAGUGGGAGGGGGAGAUGGGGAGGGAUAGCCUGGGGAGAAAUGCAAAAUGUGGGUGAAGGGGAGAAAGGAAGCAAAACACACUGCCAUGUGUGUACCUAUGCAACUGUCUUGCAUGUUCUGCACAUGUACCCCCAAACCUAAAAUGCAAUAAAAAAUUUAAAAAAAAUUACUUAAAAAGUAAUAUUUUAAAGAACAAUUUGUUUCCUUAAUAAAAUAUUACAUAAUGAAAUAUAUUUAAUAUUUAAAAACUUCUAAACAUGCUAUUUAGUGUAUUUUUUAGGAGAAAACGUUUGGAAAUUUAAAAUAAUUUUCGUCCGAAUACUAUUUAUGAAACUUCUAUUUAAACUUUUGGGUUGAAAUUUGAAAUCUUUUAAAUAUGAAAGCAUCUGAGUCAGUGGCUUCUUAGCUGGCAUUUCUGUGUAUUUGCUUAGACUCUGUAUCCUAAAUUAUUCAACCUGCUAGUUACAGUACUGGCUGCCAUUUUUUCAUUUUUGGUAAAAUAAGGAAAAAGCAUUGGAAGGAAGAAAUGUAUGAUAUUUUAUUUCUAUGUUUAAAUAAAUGCAUACAGCUUUUUAAAAACACGUUUAUCAAUAUAUAAUUUAUAUGCUGUAAAAUUCUCUUAAGUGUAUAUAAUUCAGUGAUUUUUAGAAUAUUAACGGAGUUUCACAACUCUCACCACGGUAGAAUUUUAGAAUGCUGCCAUUACUUGAAAAAGAUCCCUUCUGUCUAUUUGCAGUUAUUUCCAAUCUCCCCAGCCCCUGCUCCAGGUUCUUUUGCAGGUUUGUAGUUCAGUUGUUUGUAAGUGGAAAACUUUUUUUUUUUAUGGUUUCCUGGUUUUCCUGGUAGUCCACAAACAUACCCAACCCAUAAUAUAGCUGACCAUAGGCGAUGAAGGACUAGUGAGUACUCUUGGAUAAAGAACAAAGGGACUUGUGCUAUGGAAAGAGAAGGUGUUUGUUUCUUGUUUCCUUCUUGACCCUGGACAGUAUUUUGACAUACCUAGUUUCUCUUUGAGAUCCUUUUACUACUUUGGUGUUUGUCUCUUUCCUUGGGCAUCCGCGGCUAUGAUGCUGCCUUAAGAAUCUACCUUUAUGUCUCAGUUGAUUUUGCCCUUCUCUUUUGUUCCUUCUAGGGCAAAAUCCUCUAUCCUUUGCAGUUUCUCUCUCCAACAAAUCAAACCAAAUCAAAUCAAAUUCUUACUGCUUUUAAUCUUGGGUAUUAUGAGGAAAGAAAGAAAGCAAACUUACAAUAAUUUGAGGAGGAUUGAUACUUCUGGAGAGAUGAAGAAAUUGCAUCUUUUAAACCUACAUCAUUAGACUCAUCAGUAAGUGACUUGGCAUUAUGAAAAGCUGACAAAGUAGAGUAAAUUUAGUUGGCAGUAUAAGGGAAUUUCAUUUGGAAUGAUGGAAUUACCAUAGUAGGAGGCACAGUAUUCACAGUUACAUUUAUAGAUUUGCCCCGUCAUGGUCUCAGCUGGCUCUCUCCAUUUUUGAUGUUUUGAGCCUAAGUUUCUCAAUCUUUAAAAUGCAGUGGCAAUAUUACCUUCCUCACAUAUUUGUUAGGAUUAGACAGACAGCGUAUUUGGAAAUAUGAUGAAUAGUGUCUUACAUAUUCAGUAAGAUGUUAGCUUCCUCUAAAAAUACUCCCUUAGCAGUUUUGGUAGCAGUAACCCAGAUGGCUCAAGGUCUUAGCUAUCCUUUGUAAGCUAGAGACUGCUUAAAUUUUUACACCAGACAUUGUGCUGGGAACAGAACCUACAGAGAUCAAUAACGUGAAGUCCCUAUUCUCAAGGAGAUCACUGUUUCUGAGAGAAGAUAGAUAAAAUAAUUAACUGUAAAUCAUUGUGAUAAAUGUUAUUUUUUAAGUGCUGUUGGGGCAUUGGAGAAGGCUUCAUAGAAUAAGUCUUAAAAGGAAAUUACUGUUAGCAUUAAAUUCUUUGUUCCUCAUUGUAUUUUCUUUAUAAAAAAUAUGUUAGAAAGCUUUUCUGUUUGCUAAUUCAUCAUGAUAAUCAGAAACUGAAGAGAAAUUUCUUCUCAGAAGAGCACACAGUUUCAUCUUAUUUCUCAAAUCAUGUGAAAGCCACAAGGCAAGUGUAUUGAGAUCUCAAUAAAAUUUCUGUUCAUUUUUUAGACAUGUAAUGUCUUUUACAUUAUUUAUACUUAGUAAUGAUUUGUCAUUCAGACAACCUCAUUUAUCCACUUUCUGCAGGGUUUCCAUACCUUAAAACUGUCAUUUUUAUCUGAAAGUAGUAGUUGUGUGGCACUAUACAAAUUUGAGGUGUGUGUGUAUGUGUGUGUGUGUGUGUGUGUGUAUGUAUGUCAAAAUUUAAAUUAGCAUUUAAAUAAAAAGCUUAGCAGUCAUCAGGUACUGCAAUGUUAUAUUUUUUGGCUAUGUAUUACCGUAUAGCUGAAACUCUUCAAGAUGGGAGUGGGAGGGCACUGUUCAUUUUACCAAGAAUGCACCUUGUUCUUAUACCCUGUCCAGACUUUACCUGUUGUAACUUGGGGAGGUGGUCUGUCUUCCUUCCUUCCUUCCUUCCUUCCUUCCUCCCUCCCUCCCUCCCUCCCUCCCUCCCUCCCUCCCUCCCUCCCUCCCUCCCUCCUCCCUCCUUCCUCCCUCCCUCCCUCCCUCCUUCCUUCCUUCUUUCCUUCUCUCUCUCUCUCUUUUUUUUUUUUCUUUUCUUUUCUUUUCUUUUCUUUCGACAGCCUCUCUUGUCCAGGCUGGAGUGCACUGGCAGGAUCUCAGCUCACUGCAACCUCUGUUCAAGUGAUUCUUGUGCCCUAGCCUCCUGAGUAGCUGGGACUAUAGGCAUGUACAAUCACGCCCAGCUAAUUUUUGUAUUUUUAGUAGAGACAGGGUUUUGUUAUGUUGGCUAUUUUGGUCUUGAAUUCCUUGCCUCAAGUGAUCUGCCUACAUCAGCUUCCCAAAGUGCUGGGAUUACAGGUUUUAGCCACUGUAUCCAACCCACAUAAUGCAUCAAAUGCCGCUGUCUCUACAAAGCCUGCAUUAAUAUCAUUGGCCAACAUUCGUUUUUACCUCUUCUAUGUUCCUUUGUCAUUUGUACUUAAUACUGUAACCAUUUUCUGAUUAGAGUCCAAGCUCCUUGAAGGCAGCAUUUGUGUUUUGUCAUCUUUGUUUAAUACUUUUGUCAAAGUAGACACAUAAUGCAUUACUGGUGAUUUAAAUUGGAUCUAGGAAGCUCAGGUUUGAUGAAAAAGUCUUUUGUUAUUCUUUAGCCCCUCUUAGAAUUUUUUUUUUUUUUUUUAAUUUUUUAUUGGAUUAUAGGUUUUGGGGUACAUGAGCAGAGCAUGCAAGACGGUUGCGUAGGUACACACAUGGCAGUGUGCUUUGCUUUUCUUCUCCCCUUCACCCACAUUUGGCAUUAGAAUUUUAACUCUAAAAUCAGAGAUUGUGAAAUCUCUUGUGUGUUCUGUUUGCUGUUACCAACAUUCAAAUGUAUUUCACACUGAUCAUGUGCAGUAGCUCAUACCUGUAAUCCCAGCAGGAGGAUUGUUUGAGCCCAGAAGUUUGAGACCAGCCUGGAUACCAUGGUGAAACCCUAUCUUUACAAAAAACACAAAAAUUAGCUGGGCAUGGUAGUAUGUGCCUGUAGUCCCAGCUACUUGGGAGGCUAAGGUGGGAGGAUAACUUGAGUCCCAAGGAGGGAAGAGAUUUCAGUGAGCCAAGAUCUUCCCCACUGCACUCCAGCCUGGGUGAUAGAGUGAGACUGUCUAAAAAAAAAAAAGUGGCUUAAACAGGAUAGAAGUUUAUUUCUUCUUCACAUGGGUCUGGAUAUGAACUGUUCAGUAUGGGUAGAGUAGUUCUGUCAUCUUCACCUUGGUCUUUUGUAAUGGAUCCAAAGUAGCAGGUUCAUUCCUUAUCGUCUCCCAGCAAAUGGAAAAGGAGAAGAGGCCAGGGGAACAAAGGCCCAGUGUGGUAAUGGCAAAAUACAUCGUUUCUGUUUACAUUCUACAGAAGAGCCUGAGAAAUGUAGUCUUCCUAUCAGGGCAGCCACGUUUUUAGCUAAAAUUCAGAAGCCUUUACUACUUAAAGGAAGAAUGGGAAAAUUGACAUUAAAGAUAGUAAUUUUUGCCAUAGUUUUUAGCUUUAUUUCCAUUCUUAAAAAUAGUAGAUCAGUUGUUCCAGGAAUCAAAGAAUUUGAGUAUUUGACUGAGUCAUCAGACCUAACAGGGUUUUAAAUUAUAUAGCCCGUUCCCUUACUGUAGGUGACACAGAAGGUCAUAUAAGAGCCUUCCCAGUGAGAAAUUUACCGUCUACUUUAGGAGACAGCACUAAUUACAAAUGAAAAAAGAGCACAAACGUAUUGUGGCACAUUUUAUGUGAUAUACUGUCAUGUGUAUAGACAUUUAUAGGAGAUAAAUAUUCCUGUAAAAUAGAGGAAAAUAGGAAACUGUUAAAGGUUUGGAGUUGGAAACUGAAAUAGUGCAAGAGUGUAAACUGGUAAUAGAGUUCAGAGUGGGUGAAUUAUCUUUCUCCCUCUUAAUCUGAUUAUGGAAUUCAGAGUGGAUAAGCUCCCUCCCCUUUGCUCUGCCUAAUCUCCGAGGUUACUUAUGACUUUUCAGCCUCAGUUACCACAUCCAGAUGUUCUUUCUUAGCCCCAUUACUCUUGACUUCUUUGGAGCAUUUGAUACUAUUGAACAUCUUUUAUUUUACUUUCAGUUCUGGGGUACAUGUGCAGAUCUUACAGGAUUGUUACAUAGUAUACAUAUGCCAUGGUGGUUUGCUGCCUCCAUCCUCCCUUCACCUACAUUAGUUAUUUCUCCUAAUGUUAUCCCUCCCCAAUCUCCCCACCCACUGCUAUCUCUCCCCUCACACCCCCACCCCGCAACAGACCCCAGUGUGUGAUGUGAUUUUUUUUUCUGUUUUUGAAAACAGCUUUUCUUUGAAAUGACCUCAUUCUCUAAUUUUGUAUUUUCUUUCAUUUUCUCCCUAAGAUUUAGUACUCUGUUUUUUUUUUUGCUCUUUUUGUUCUCAGUACUGCAGCUAUCAUCUUAAAAAAAGGUGCAGGUGCAUGUGUGUGCAGUGUGCAUGUGUGUGUGUGUGUGUGUGCACGUGUGUGCAUGUAUCCAGUUUAACUUUAAUCCUAUAUUCUAAAUUGCCUGCUGGACAUUUUCAUCUUGAUAUAUCAUUAUCCUUUAAAUCAUUCAAUGGAUUGCCUGCAGAAUUUCUGACUCCACAAGUACCCUUAUGCUUUAUAUCCCAGGUGCAAAAUUUGCAUUUUGGUCUCUACCUUCUCCUUUGCUACUAUAUGUUUUAUGAAUAAGCCCUGUCAGUUCUUCCUGGUGAUUUCAUAUUUGUUUGUUUCCAUUCUUACUGCUGCCAUAUUUAUCCUUUCCUUAAUGACAUUAGGUAUAUGAAAGCAAAUCAGGAAAUGUGCUGAAUGCUUGAGUUAAAGACUGUGGAGAAUGCUCUAGAACCUUGCUAUUUAAAAUGUCGUCUGUGGAUGGCAGCAUGGGCAUCACUGGGAACUUGUUAGGAUGCAGAAUCUUAGAAGCUACUCUGGGGGCUACAGAAUUAGAAUAUUCAUUAGAAUAUUCAUUUUCAUGAUUUUUCUAAUUGAUGCGCAUGCACAUUAGGGUUUGAGAGACACUGAUCUAGAAGUCACUGUGCAUUUCUCCUUUCCUCCUCUCUCUCUCCUCCCCCUCACCCCCUUGUUUUCUGACUAGAGUGCAGUGGUACCAUCAUAGCUCAAAGGGACUUCGAACUUCUAGGCUCAAGUGAUCCGUCUGCCUCAGCCUCCCAAGUAGCUAGACCUACAGGCACAUGCCACUACGUGCAGUGCGUAGUUAAUUUUUAGUAGAGACCACUGUCUCACUAUGUUACCCAGGCUGUUCUCAAACUCCUGGCCUCAAGUGAUCUUCCCACCUUGGCUUCCCAAAAUGCAAGGAUUACAGGUCCUCGAUGGGCUUCCUGGAAUAUUGGUGUGUUUAUUUGCAUCAGAUGUGCUGGAAUUCAUAGAAAUCUUGGGGUUCAUAUAUCCAGGGUCAAAUCAGUCAACCUAGACCAAUGGACAGCAGAACAGAUACAG